RNAcentral lists this long non-coding RNA (54034 nucleotides) under Vigna radiata. RNAcentral describes it as "long non-coding RNA (VRAD_LNC011962)". The record is from RNAcentral. Lineage: Eukaryota; Viridiplantae; Streptophyta; Magnoliopsida; Fabales; Fabaceae.
AAUGUCAAAAACAAGUACUUGUAAACACCUCAUAUUUCCACUCGCAUUAAUAUUCCAGUAAUUCAAGCUAUUUAAAUGAAGAAACAUCGAAUUUAAAAUAACAAAACUUGUAAACUCCUCAAAACAACUAGCUAAUUUAAUCAAACAUUUGUUGAGGAUGACACAUUCCUAUUUCACCUGGAACCACUUCGUAGCAUCCUCCUGGUAGUAUGAUGCUGGAUCCCAACACGAGACUUCAACGGUGGUGGCCAACACAAUAGCCAGGGCGCUCCAAAACGAAGAAGAAAUCCAUCCCAUAAAUACCUGAAGAAGAGCCAACGCUCAACAUUAAUGGAACAACUUUUUUAAUUUAGCAUAGUUAGAGUUACAAGUAGCAUCAUACCAGAAGAAACCAAAUUCAAUGGACAUAACAAAGAAUGCAGUGCAUGAAGACAACCAUGGAUUAAAUUUCAAUCUAUUCUCAGGUUAGAGAGAGAGCUAUGGAAUAAUUAAUUGAUAUAUGAAAAUAAAAAAUGCCAUGGAGUUUUGUAUCAGUUAAUAACAGCUUCAAGUACAACAAAACAAGUACAACAAUAAAUAACAUGUAUUCAACCAAAAGCUGCAGGAGAUUUUAAUCUUACUUGUUUCCCAAGUCAAUAUGCUCUUGAAUACCAAAGCCAAAGCACCCAGUAUCACUGAAGUUUCUUCGCAAAAAUUCAUAUUCCUUCACCUUCAAUCCACUGUCCAGAAGCUGCAUUGCCUUGUCACCUCUAACAGUGACAGCGUGCAAUCUUUUCAUUUCUUCUGAUACCAAAAGAACGGACAGUGUAUCUAGCUGUCAACAACAAAGAAGAAACAACCGAUCAGAGAACAGCCAGUUGCAAUGAUAGGUUUCUGAUAAAGAAACCUUAUCCUUCACUUACUUCACACGCUAACAGAGUAUAGAGAAAUGAUGAAUAACCUCUGGUUUAUUGCUCAACAAGAAAGAAUACAAGAAUGGGACAACAAGGGAGCCUAAUCUCCCUCCAACAAGACUCAAACGUCUGUUCAGAACAUAAGAANUGCCAAAAGUCCCUCUCCAAUACUCAACUCUCCUAUUUAUACAAACUAACAUUCCCGCCCAUCCUAACUGUUAACACAGUUAGGCCAACUAAAUAACUAACUCCCUCUAACUGUUUAAUCACAGUUAUCUAACCUCUCCUCUUCCUUACAUACACCUUUAACUUCCUAUCAAUACCCUCCCCUCCAUUUUCAACCUUGUCCUCAAGGUUGAAUUCCAGAAAUCGGUCCUUAAUUGUUGCCAAAUCUUCCCAUGUCGCCCCUUCUAUACCUCCAAUCUGCCACUCUAUCAGGACUUGUUGGAUCACAUCCUCUCCUUGCUGAAUGUUGCCUACGUUCAAGCACCUUGAUGGGCCAGAAAGCAUGUCCUUCGGCCUGCAAUUCCUCUGGUAACGCUUUCUCCACUAUUUGAUCUCCCACCGCCUUUUUUUAAUUAAGAAGCAUGGAACACUGGAUGGAUUCUCGCGGCCUCUGGAAGCUCCAAUCUAAAAGCCACAUUGCCAACCUGCUGUAACACUUUAAAUGGCCCAAAAUAUCUAGCUGACAGCUUGGGGUGUAAUCGCACCGGCAUUGAGGAUUGUCGGUGGGGCCUUAUAUUCAAAUAGACCCACUCUCCCACUUUUGUAUCCACUUCUCUCCUCUUUUUAUUAGCCUGUUGGGUCAUCAAAUCUUGGGCACGUCUUAAUUGAUGCUUCAACUGAUUAAGGGCCUCAUCUCUCAUCAUGAGGUCCUGUGCUACUGCUUCCACCUGUGUCUCCCCGGGAAUAAAUCGGUUGAAAGAGGGAAGAGGCCUUCCAUACACAAUCUCAAACGGUGUACACUUUGCUGCUCCUUGGUAACUUGUAUUGUACCAAAAUUCUGCCCAGGGUAGCAUUGAAAACCAGCUCUUAGGCUGUUCCAAACAGAAACACCGCAAGUACCCUUCCACAAUGCGGUUUACCACCUCCGUUUGCCCAUCCGUUUCCAGAUGAUAAGAUGUGCUCAUCUUGAGCUGAGUCCCUUACAUUUUAAAAAGCUCUUUCCAAAAAAUACUCAAGAAUAAAGGGUCUCUAUCGCUUACCACUGAUACCGGAAUCCCGUGCAACCUAAUAAUCUCCUUAGCAAACACAUCAGCAACUGUUUUUGCAGAAUAUGGGUGCUUCAACGCCAGAAAAUGUGCAUAUUUACUCAGUCGGUCAACCACCACCAUAAUAUCAUCAUAUCCUUGCGACUUAGGCAGCCUCACAAUGAAAUCCAGGCUAAUUUCCUCCCACAUUGCCUAAGGAAUUGGCAAGGGCUGUAGCAAUCCUUGAGGGGAUGUUGUCACAUAUUUGUGUUGUUGGCACACUACACAGCUUGCCACGAAAUCUAUAAUCUCCUUCUUCAUACCUACCCAAUACAAAGAUUGGGCUAUCCUUCUGUAAGUUCUAUAGACACCCGAAUGCCCCCAGUCUUGGUCACAUGAAACUCCUCAAUUAGUUUAGGAAUCCAAUUGGAUUUCGCAGAUAUCACCAAUCUGCCUUUAUAAUGCAACCGGUCGUUCUCUAAAGUAUACGCCCUUUUUGAGUUAGGAUCGUUCCUCAACCGCUCAACCACCUUUUGCAGCUCGGUAUCCUCCUUGACCUCCUUCAAGAUUUCUUGGAAAUCUGGCCAAAAUGGCCUAGAAAUGGCUCGCAGCUCUCCUUCCUCCUGUUCUCCUUCAUGCCUUCGUGAAAGAGCAUCUGCAGCCCUAUUAGUACUCCCUUUUUUAUAUACAAUCUCAAAUUCAUACCCCAUCAACUUAGCCAACCAGUUCUGCUAGCUCUGGGUAGUAAUCCUCUGCUCCAACAAAUAUUUCAAACUCCGCUGGUCUGUGUAUAGCGUGAAUUUUCUUCCCACCAAGUACGGCCUCCAGUGUUGAAUGGCUAACACCAAAGCCAUCAAUUAUUUUUCGUAGAUUGAUUUACUGAGGUUAUUCUCCGACAAUGCUUUACUGAAGAAUGCUAUCAGCCUUCUAUUUUGGGUCAACACAGCACCCACUCAUCCUCCCGAGGCAUCACACUCAAUAUAGAACUCUUGGCUGAAAUCGGGUAUCUCCAACAUAGGGGCUGAUGUGAUCGUUGCCUUCAGUUCCUCCAUAGCCCACUUCGCCUGCUCGUUCCACGAAAAUUUCCCCUUCUUAAGCAGUUCUGUCAAUGGUUUGGCUAUUUUGCCAUAGAUGGCCACGAACCUCCUAUAGUAACCCGUGAGCCCAAGGAAACCCCUCAACAUUUUUAAGUUCCUAGGUUCUUCCCAUUCCACCAUGGCUUUAAUUUUUUCUCCAUCCAUUUCUACUCCCUGAUCUGAAAUCUGAUGGCCCAAGUAACGUAUCUUCUUCCCAAAAUCACACUUCUUCCGAUUGGCCACCCACCCAUUUCGUUCCAGUAGCUGCAUCACCAUUCCCAACUGUUUAAGAUGAUCGGCCCAAUUUGGACUAUAGACGAUAAUGUCGUCGAAAAAAACCAACACCCAUUUCCUCAAAUACAGUUGCAGGAGCUUGUUCAUUGUACUCUGAAAAGUGGCCGGCGCAUUCGUCAGUCCGAACGGCAUCACGAGAAACUCAAAGUGUCCCAGGUGGGUGCGGAAGGUCGUCUUCGCUACAUCUGCUUCCUCCAUCCUGAUCUGGUAGUACCCAGAUUUCAAAUCGAUCUUAGAAAAAUACCGGGCCCCCCUUAGUUCGUCUAGCAGCUCCUCUAUCACCGGAAUUGGGAACUUGUCUGGUACAGUGGCCUUGUUCAGUGCCCUGUAAUCUACACAAAAGUGCCAACUUCCAUCCUUUUUCUUCACGAGUAUGACCGGGCUGGAGAGUGGGCUCGAGCUGUGGCGGAUGAUUCCGGCCUUCAACAUUUCUUUAACCUGUUUUUCGAUCUCCCCUUUCAGAAUGUGAGGAUAGCGGUAUGGCCUCACAUUUAUAGGGUCUACACCCAUAUUCAACUGGAUUCGGUGCUGGAUUUGAUGUUCUGGAGGGAGCCCAUGCAUGUCUUGGAAGAGCUGAUAGUGGGAUUGUAGCAGCUUUUCCAGUUGGGCCCACUGUUCUCCUGUCACAUCUGUCCCCCACUCACCGUCUUCAGCUGCUUCUAUCGAACUCAAGCCCCACACGAACGCCCCUGAUUUCACGUCAUCCCAAGCUUCCACAAAGAUUUUGACUUCACCAGCUGUCGCGAAAGAGUUGGAUCUCCUUUAAUUGUGAUCGUUCUCUCCCCCACAUGGUACUCCAUUGUCAUACUUCCCCAAUUUGCUCUGACUUCUCCCAAUUUAGCUAACCAUGCCACACCUAAAAUAAUAUCGACACCCCCCAACUCAAAAACAUGGAACUCUUCCUCCACAUCCACCUCCUCCAGUCGGAUCACCACCCCUACACAACGUCCCUAGGUAACCCGCCGACACCCGUCGCCUAAACUCACUGUGUACGGUGCAGUGGCGAUUACCGGCAAGCCCAGCUCCUCUGUGGUUCUCUUGCUUAUAUAGUUGUGGCUGGCUCCGCUGUCUAUGAGAACCACCACCCUCCGUUCACCAAUUUCUCCGGUCAACUUCAAGGUUCCCGGAUUAGUCCAGCCUUCUGUAGAACACGCUGAUAACUCCAUAACUUUCUCCUCUGUAUUGCCGUUUACCUCACCCUCUUCCCCUUCGUCUUCGUCUUCUGCCAGUAAUAAUACUCGCAGACUCCUCUCGGUGCAGCGAUGGCCAGGUGCGAAAGGCCCACCACAUCGGAAGCAUCGCCCCUCCUCCUUUCUCUUGAGAAACUCAGGGUAAGGUAAAUUUCAAACCAUACGGCCUCUACCUUCACUCCCAGCCACCGCACUCGCUCUCACCACCGGGUUCGCUGUCGCUCCCUCUCUCCUCGUAGGUCCUCCACCCUCUGUUCUUCCCCACUGAUUCGUCGCGGGCUUAGUCGCCUCCGAUCGCGUCACGCUACCCAUGGGUAGCGCGCUGAAUGGGUAUAUCUUGAACCCAUUCACAUGGCUUCCCUGCGCUCUCAUCAUAGCAUCUUCCACGUCGCAUGCGAUUCUCAUCACUUCCAUCAACUCCAAGGGGUUCUGUAUCCUCAUCUGACCCUUGACAUCUUCACGUAAACCGGCUAAGAAGUAACCCAUCACCUGUACCUCCGGAAUUCCCUUCGUCUGCCCCAUCAAGACUUCAAACUGUCGAACAAAUUCCUCGAUUGUCCCCUCCUGGCGUAUAGUAGCCAAUCGUUCGAAUACGGUACCCCGAAAUCCACCCCCGAAGCAAUUAAUCAUGGCUUCUUUCAGCCCUUCCCACAUUCGAUUGCUCGCCUUCUCUUUCCAGAAAGUGAACCAGUAUGCCGCACUACCCUCCAUGCUGACAUAGGCGAUCUCCACUUUUUCCUCAUCUUCUGUCACUCGUUGUAUAUCGAAGAACCUCUUUGCCCGAUUGAGCCAGCUGAGUGGUUCGUCUCCGUCAAAGAUGGGUAACUCAACCCUCUUCCUCCAAGAUUUUUUCUCCCCAACUCUUUCACCGCUUCCACUACCUCCGGUUUCUCCAUUUCUCCUAUGUCUGUUAUCGUUCACGUAGCUAUCGUCAAAACUACUCUCCGUUUGAUUCUCCCUUUUCUCCAGAAUUUUCAUAAUUUGUUGUAAGUCUCGACGUACCGCCGCAGACUCCGCUUUCAUUCCCUCCACCGUUAUCUCGAUCGCUUCGAAUCGUGCCUCCACGGCUUUCUCCAUCUUCUCGUCGCAACGUCCUCCGCAAAAAGUAUCCGGCAGGUCGGACCAAACUUGAUAGGUUUCUGAUAAAGAAACCUUAUCCUUCACUCACUUCACACGCUAACAAAGUAUAGAGAAAUGAUGAAUAACCUCUGGUUUAUUGCUCAACAAGAAAGAAUACAAGAAUGGGACAACAAGGGAGCCUAAUCUCCCUCCAACAAGACUCAANNGUCUGUUCAGAANAUANNAACUGCCAAAAGUCCCUCUCCAAUACUCAACUCUCCUAUUUAUACAAACUAACAUUCCCUAACCUCUGGUUUAUUGCUCAACAAGAAAGAAUACAAGAAUGGGACAACAAGGGAGCCUAAUCUCCCUCCAACAAGACUCAAACGUCUGUUCAGAACAUAAGAAUUGCCAAAAGUCCCUCUCCAAUACUCAACUCUCCUAUUUAUACAAACUAACAUUCCCGCCCAUCCUAACUGUUAACACAGUUAGGCCAACUAACCAACUAACUCCCUCUAACUAUUUAAUCACAAUUAUCUAACCUCUCCUCUUCCUUACAUACACCUUCAACUUCCUAUCAUGCAACUAGAAAAAUUGUUGUCUUUUUAAAGGUGGGGCAAACAAGGUGCGCCCAAGACAACUUAUACUAGCUUAACAACAAUUGUGAGAGUUUAGAAGCAUUUAACGAUAAUUUUACAUUUUGCAUUAAAAUUUUAAACACCACCCUAGUAUAUUUAAUUGUUGGAUACUUCAGUUUCAACCCCCAUUACCCUAAUUCCCCUAAAAGAAUCAUAUCACCCGAAUAUAUUCAAUUUUGAUACAUUAAUUUCAAUUUAUGUUUGCAUUAUUUUAAGGAAUUUAAUUACACUAACAGAAACUCAUACGUACACAAGUUUGGAAAUCUAUGUCAAGGUUUAGUAUUGAAAAAUAUCCAGAUAUGAAUUCAAGUUCUCAUCAAACUCUUCAAAAUUUCAACUUCUUGUGACUUCAAAAGUGAGGGGGAUAGUUUUUCUGUCUAGUUGGAAUAAAAUAGGCCCCACGAAUUGCCCGUCAAAUUCCAAACAGACAAUCCAGUAUUACCCGCUUCUAUAAAUACUCUACAAAUGGAAACAUGGCACAAUCCUGGAGUAAACCGCAUAGAACAAAUAAAAUUGUAUAAUAAUCUUUUUGGGCAUUUGAAGUUUUGAAGGUCUUUAAACACUAUUUUCUUCACACUCUAGUAAAUAUGCUAGUAUUAACGCAUUUUAAAAAAAUUAGCACAAUCCACAACAAGUAACACUAAUAAUCCAGAAAAAAAAAUUACUUCAGCUUAGUUCUGCUCUUGCUUUCUUUAACUUUCCUCUUAAAGGCAGUUGGAUUUAGCAAUCUCUUGAAGGGGAAUAAAGGUAGUCCCCGAUGUGUCCUUCGCUUCUUUUUCAAUGCACCUGAAGAUAAUGAAAUAUACCUGAUGAUUAUACUUGCAUCACAAAACGUACAAUGGAAACAUGCUAGAUACUAUGCACAUACAGGGAAGCUAUGAGGAACAGCAUAAUUGGGAAAUGAAAUGAAAUUAAUAAUAUUUUAAUACUAAUCCAUGAACUUCUUUGAAGGAAAGCACAAAAGUAAUAUAUAGCUUUCAACAACCCAGAUAAAGAUAUCAGUAAAUGAGUGGGGGUACCUAAUACACGAUGAACUGGGGCUAAUUGAUCCGAUUCGGUGAUCACUUCACCGAACUCUUUAUCUUUCAUUACAACAUCUGGACUUAAAUGGCCGGCAGCUUUGAAAUUAUCUUCCAUUUCCAUCUCAUCAUAAGAUUUCAGCUGUUGCUUCUCGUGUUCAACUGUCUCAUGCCUUUUGACAAACUGUUUACCCUCCUCCAUCGAAGUAUCAGAAAUAGAUGUUUUUAAAUCUUCAUUUGCCAAAGCUGCAUGAAUCUUGCCAACCUCAUUUAAAUUAAUAUCAGAACUUUUGUCAUUAUAGCGUUUAUCAUAAAUUGGGGCAGGAAUAAUAUUAUCAAAGAUUUCUACUUCAUGAACAAUAUCAUGUGCCUCUUGUGAAGAACCAGAAAGUUUAUCGUUUUCAUGUGGUUUUAGAGGAUUCAAUGUACUGCUUGAGAUGCUUAAGUUUGAUUCUGAAUCAAAUGCUUUUGUUUCAAACAGGACGACACCAACAUUUGUGGCAUUUGUCGAAAUGUCCAUCUCCAUAGAAUUGAAAGCUUUGGUAGUUCCACUGUGUAUAUUUUUCUCCAAAAGUUCUUCACUUUGUUUCUGUGAUUGGGAGAUUUUACCUUGCUCAGGACAAACAUCAAACUUAUCAGGUUGCCCUGUUAAGUUGUUAUGCACAGGAGUUGACUGAUUAAUUUUUCUGACAACCGGAAGGAAGUUUAUUUUAUCAUCGACGAAGAUAGAGUCAACAGCCAUCGGAAUGUUCAUCUCCGUAAAAUUGACAGCAUCAGAUACUCCAUUAUGCAUAUUUUUCUCAAAAAUAUCAUCACGGCUCAAACUGUAACUAUUAGUUAUAUCAUCUGAUAAGGAGUUUUCAUCUUGCUCACAAGUUUCAAGUAUGUUGGACUUCUCAGUGAAGCUGUUAGGUACAGUUGCUGACUGAUCUAGCUUUUGGGUAACAGGUGGGGAGUUUACUUUAUUGCCUAAACAGACAGGUAAAACAUUGUUUGCAGGUAAGAUAUUCCUUAUUUCAAAACCAUUAGAUGGAAGGCUGUUGACCACUGAAGUAAAGUCAAUGGCUUUUUCAGUUUUCGAUGCUUUACAAGAGACCAAAGAAGAUUUGUGCACGUCAUUCAACAUGAUAUCACCUUCACCACUGGAGAUAGGAUCCCACUGUAGUAACUCUUGAUACCGAUCUUCCUUGGACUGAGAUGUUGCAUCUGUUGAUAAAACUUCUACUCUUAUUGCCUCUUUAUAAAAUCGUUUUUUUCUUAAAGAAUUAGCUAAAAGAAUCCUGCAAACAAUUCAAAAUGAUAUUCAAGACUCUUAAACAGUGCAAACCUCCAGACCCAAACACAAUAAAGGAUAUUGUAGCAAAUUGCAUACCUACAGUUUUUAGAAAUAGCAGCAUUAGCCCGUUCCUUGGAGAGUCCAAACAAUGACAACAAGUUGGCAACAUCACAAGGUCCUCUGAGCUCAUUCACAGUAGGAGCAGCACUUGAAAAUACAAUGUUGUGUCCCCGAGUCCAGUCCAUCAACAACUACAUAUUUGUUUAACCAGUGUAAGUUUCUGGACAUAUCUCAAUAUGAUAUUUGUAAUAACAUAAAAAGGUUGUCAAAACACUUAUAAUUGUAUGAGGGACUACCAAAAGGCCUGAGCAUAGUAGUUAAUAGCAGAGUGGCCACCCGCCAAAACCCAUAUAGCGGGAUAGUGAUAGCAGGAUGACCAUUAUUUUGAUCCCUAUGUGUAUGAGUGUACUUGUUAGGUUUCUAAUCAAGAAAUGUUAGACCGUUACUGGUCUAUGAGAGGAGGAAGAGACUUUAGUUAGUUAGUUGGUGUCUGUAGUUAGUAGUUGGUCUAACUGCUGUCUAGGCAGUUAGAGGGGUGCGGGGUAAGGAAAUUAAACCUGUAUAAAUAGUUGUAAAUGGGGGAGAGGAAAUACUUUUGGCCUUUACUGAAUUGUAGAUCAGGACACAUUGUCCUGAGGGGGAGAGGUUAGGCUCUCUGUAUUCUUUCUGUGAUCAUACGUGAAUAAAAGAAGUUUUCCUUCAAUAUGUGUGUUUUAGUCAAAUAAGGAGUGAGCUUUCAUAGGUUCUUGAAUUAAGAACCUAUCAUUUGGUCUGUGCCGAAUCCGAAGAGAGGAGUGAUUCAGUGAUGGAAGGAUAGUCAUCCGAGGAGAGGUUGGAUAACUUGGAGAUAACGGUGGAGGGAAUUAAAGAUGAAAUGGCGGCGAUAAGGCGUGAUCUUCAACAAAUGAUGAGGAUGAUGAGUGAAGGACAACACAAUAACAGAGGGGGAUCGGAAAAGGGAAGUACGUCGGGAAAUAACAAGCAAGAUCAACGCGACAGAUGGGGAGUGCAUCAGAAUUGGAGGAAGAAGGUGGAAUUACCUGGUUUUGAUGGGCAAGAACCGCACAGUUGGAUCAAUAAGGCUGAACGUUUCUUCGAUAUUCAGAAAGUGGCAGAUGAUGAUAAAGUUGAACUUGGUAUAUUAGCAUGGAAGGUAGUGCGAGCUAUUGGUUUAAGAUUUGGAAAGAAAAAACCAACAAUUGGUCUUGGAUGGGGUUGAAGGCAUCCUUGAUCAAUCGCUUUGGGGGAGGUUUCCAGGGUACGGUGUACGAGCAACUACCAACCCUGCGACAAGAAGGGACGGUGGAGGAAUUCAUCAGGAGUUUUGAAAUAUUGUUGGGGCAAGCGCAAGGAUUGACGGAGGAAUUGACAUUGGGGUUUUUCUUGGCGGGAUUGAGAGAAGAAAUUAAGGGCCAAGUUCGCAUCCAGAAUCCUAAGGAAUUGGAGGAAGCGAUUCGGAUCACGAGAGACGUGGAAGACGCGAUUGUCCGAGCACGGGGAGGAGGAUGGAACGGUGUCAGAGUGAACGGAGGAGGAUCGCGACCCACAACGACAGUCGUUCGUGGCGAGGUGGAGCGACCCACAGUAAAUCGCGCCAGAGGCGAGGCGAAUCGGAGGGAAGUAGUGUUGGGGGCGACAGCCAACAGAGGCGAAAACGUAGGUUAAGGUGAAAAUCGGGUACGGAUGGUUCGCAACUUGCCCUACCCAGAAUUUCUUAAACGUCGAGAGGAGGGACGUUGUUAUCGUUGCGGGUGCCCGUUCGCACCGGGUCAUCGUUGCGCGGAGAAGAGUCUGAGGGUGCUCCUUCUGGCCGAGGACGAAGAGGAGGAAAUGACCGACAAGGGAAAACUGGAAGAGAAGCCGAUGGAGUUGUCCACGUGUUCUGCGGAGGGGCUGACACCGCCGAAGACCAUGAAGUUGAUGGGGACGAUCGACGAUCGAGGAGUUGUGGUCCUCAUAGACAGUGGGGCCAGUCACAACUUCGUCAGUCGCAAGGUGGUGGAAGAAUUGAAGUUGCCCGUGACCUACACCCCGCCAUACGCUGUGAGCCUUGGGGACGGACACCGGAGGACAUCGAGGGGACGAUGCGAGAGGGUUCAAAUAUCGCUGGGGGAAGCAAAAGUCAUGGAGGACCUAUUGUUUUCGAACUUGGAGGUGUGGAUGUUAUAUUAGGUAUGGUUUGGUUGGCAAAGCUUGGGGAAGUUGUCAUCAAUUGGAGAGAGAUGACCAUGUCAUAUUCUGAGGAGGGAAAGCAGGUGCGGGUUCAAGGGGACCCAUCUCUAUCCAGACAGCUGGUGGAGCCCGAGGACUUGAAGAAGGAAGUGGAUGCUGACUCAUGGUUUUUAGUAUGGGAAGUAGGGCAGUUGGAGAAGCAGAAAAGUGACGCGUGUACAGAGGAGCUUACAGGGGAACAACACACUGAGCUGCUGGCAGUGUUGCAGGCGCACUACGAUGUUUUUCGGGAGAGAGAAGGCCUACCUCCAAAAUGGGAAUUGGAGCACCGAAUUGUCCUUAAAAUGGGAGAGAACCCUGUCAACAUUAGACCAUACAGAUAUCCCUAUUUCAUGAAGGAGGAGAUAGAGAAGCAGGUAGCUGACAUGUUGAAAGUUGGGAUUAUUAGGCCGAGCCGGAGCCCCUAUUCCAGUCCGGUCAUACUUUAAAAAAGAAGAAUGGUAGCUGGAGGUUUUGUGUUGAUUACCGAGCCUUGAAUAAGGCCACUGUUCCAGAUAAAUACCCAAUCCCGGUGAUAGAGGAGCUGCUGGACGAGUUGCAUGGAGCCCGGUAUUUUUCCAAGAUAGAUCUGAAGGCUGGGUACCAUCAGAUCAGGAUGGGAGAGGAGGAUAUUCCGAAGACAGCAUUUCGGACUCAUCAGGGUCACUUCGAAUUUCUGGUAAUGCCCUUCGGGCUAACCAAUGCACAAGCGACUUUCCAGAAUACAAUGAACAACCUGUUGCAUCCUUACCUCAAAAGAUGCGUGCUUGUCUUCUUUGAUGACAUUUUGGUGUAUAGCCCGACAUGGAGAGAUCACCUCGAACAGUUGGGGGCAAUGUUGCGAUUAUUGGGACAGCAGAAGUGGGUGGCCAACCAAAGCAAAUGCGAGUUUGGGAAGCAACAAAUUGGAUAUCUAGGACACAUAAUAUCAAGAAGAGGUGUAGAAAUGGACCAGGAGAAAGUGCAGGAGGUGUUGGAGUGGGGUGAGCCAAAAAAAUUGAAAGCUUUAAGGGGAUUUCUGGGUCUUACAGGCUAUUAUAGGUGGUUUGUGCAAGGAUACGGGAAGAUGGCCAAACCUUUGACCGAUUUGCUUAAAAAAGGGAAGUUCGAGUGGUCACCAGAAGCUCAUACAGCCAUGGAGAAACUUAAGACAGCCAUGACUACUGCACUGGUCUUAUCUCUUCCUAAUUUUAACCAAGAGUUUCACCUGGAGUGUGAUGCAUCAGGAGUAGGUGUGGGGGCGGUACUUAUGCAGAACAAGAAGUCCAUUGCAUUUUUCAGCAAAUCUUUGUCGACAGGAUCCUUGAGUAAGUCUGUGUAUGAAAAGGAGCUCAUGGCUUUGGUAAUGGCUAUUCAACACUGGAGACCCUACUUAUUGGGGCGGCGGUUUGUGGUACACACCGAUCAACAGAGUUUGAAAUAUCUCCUGGAGCAACGAAUAACGACCCAUAGUCAACAGAAUUGGAUGGCUAAACGUAUGGGGUACGAUUUUGACAUCGUGUACAAGAAGGGGAGUUCAAAUAAAGUGGUUGACGCCCUUUCAAGAAAAGGGGAAGGAGUUAUGGAAGAUAUUGAGUUGCAGGCCAUUUCCCGACCUUAUUGGCAUGACUUCCGUGAGCUGUUAAGGGAAGUCGAGGAAGACGAAGCACUUAAGAAAAUAAUCAAGGAGUUGGAGGAGGACCCAAAUAGCCAUAUGCCAUAUACUCUGGAGAAUGGAAGGCUCCAUUACAGAGGAAGGUUGGUGUUAUCUGUUGCCUCUAGCUGGAUUCCCCGACUGUUGGCAGAGUUCCAUGUAACCAGCACGGGGGGGCAUUCCGGGGUGUUUAGAACGUACCGAAGGCUGGCCCAGUCACUAUACUGAAUGGGUAUGAAGAAAACCAUGACUGACUUUGUUGCUGGAUGUGUGGUAUGCCAGCAGCAUAAAUAUAUGGCUGCGGCACCUCAGGGUCUACUUCAACCUCUACCCAUUCCUCAGGCCGUGUGGGAAGAGGUGAGUAUUGAUUUCAUUGUUAAGUUACCUAAAUCUCAGAGCUAUGAUGCUACCCACUCCUUAUUUUAGUCAAAUAAGGAGUGAGCUUUUCUUGAAUUAAGAACCUAUCAAGAAACCUAAAGAAAUCUCACUAACUCACACAAGAAUCAACACCCAACACUCUGUAUAACCUCCACUGGUACUAUUUAGUACAAGAAUACAAUGAAUAGGGUAGUCUGGAAGCCUAACCUCCCCCAACAGGAAUAACGAAUCCUGUACAAAGUAUACAACAGUCAAAAGUAAGUCCUUUCUACUAACUCUUACUAUUUAUACAAAUCCAAUCCCUCUCAUUCCUAACUGUCAAAACAGUUAAGCUAACAGUUAAACUACUGACGCUUCCUUCUCCUCUCAUACACUAACAAUCUCCUAUCAUUACCCCCCCUCCCCUCCUUCGACAACCUUGUCCCCAAGGUUGAACUCAGGAUAUUGACCCUGAAUGGUGGCUUCGUCUUCCCAAGUAGCGCCCUCCUUGCCCCUUCUUGCCAUUCCACCAGGACUAGGUGCAAUAACUCCUCUCCCUGCUGAACCUGCCUCCUGUCCAAGACUUUUAUUGGCCAAAAAUUGGCCUCUCUACCUGCAGCUCCUCUGGCAGCCCCUUUUCCACUAUCUUGUCCCCCACCACCUUCUUUAAUUGGGACACGUGAAAUACCGUGUGAAUCCUUGUUGUUUCUGGUAGCUUCAGCCUAAAAGCCACAUUUCCUACCUGCUGUAACACUUGGAAAGGACCAAAAUAGCGGGCCGAUAGCUUUGGAUGCAGCCUCACUGGCAUCGAAGAUUGCCGGUGAGGUCUGAUCUUCAAAUAGACCCAAUCAUUCACCUUGAUAUUCGCCUCUCUCCUCCUCUUGUUGGCUUGCUGGACCAUUAGGUCUUGGGUCCUAUUCAAGUGAAAUUUCAACUGUCUAAGGGCCUCAUCACGUGUCAUCAAGUCUUGGGCCACGGCCUCCACCGAUGUUUCUCCAGGAAUGAAUCUGCUGAAGGAUGGAUGGGCUCUGCCAUACACGGUUUCAAAUGGCGUGCACCUAGCUGACUCCUGGUAACUGGAUUUAUACCAGUACUCCGCCCAAGGCAAUACUGCAUACCAAUUCUUGGGUUGCUCUAAACAAAAACAGCGUAAAUACCCUUCAACUCUCCUGUUAACCACCUCUGUUUGCCCAUCCAUUUCAGGGUGAUAGGCGGUGCUCUUCUUGAACUGGGUCCCCUGCGCUUUGAACAACUCUCUCCAAAAUAUGCUCAAAAACAGUGGGUCUCUAUCACUUACAAUUGAGACCGGGAUGUCAUGCAGUUUGAUAAUCUCCUUGGUAAAUAUCUUUGUUAUUGUUUUCGCUGAAAAAGGGUGUUAUAAUGCAGCCUAUCAUUUUCCAAAGUGUAUGCCGCAUGGGAAUUUGGAUCUCUUCGAAUGUCAGCAAUCACCCUUUUCAAUGCUUCGUCCUCCUCCACUUCUCUUACAAGUUCUUCAAAAUCUGACCAGAAGGGUCUAGAUAUAACUUGGAGCUCCUUUCCCUCUAUCUCACCCUCAUCUCUUCGUGACAGGGCAUCUGCCACUUUGUUGGUGCUCCCCUUUUUAUAGAUUAUUUCAAAAUCAUACCCCAUAAGCUUUGCCAAUCAGUUCUGCUGGCUCUGAGUGGUGAUCCUUUGCUCCAUCAAAUACUUUAGGCUACGCUGGUCAGCGUAUACCGUGAAUCUCCUCCCCACCAAGUAAGGCCUCCAAUGUUGGAUGGCUAACACCAAUGCCAUCAGCUCUUUCUCAUAGAUUGAUUUACUCAAAGAUCCCCCCGAAAGUGCCUUACUGUAAAAAGCAACGGGCUUCUGGUUCUGGGUCAAUACAGCCCCCACCCCUCCUCCUAAAGCAUCGCAUUCAAUAUGAAAUUCCUGAUUAAAGUCAGGCAAUGUUAAGACUGGGGUAGAGGUUAUAGCAGCCUUCAAACUAACCAUAGCCACCCUCGCCUAAUCUAACCAAGCAAACUUCCCCUUUUUCAAUAACUCUGUCAACGGUUUUGCUAUUUUCCCAUACCCAGCUACAAAGCGUCUAUAAUAUCCCGUCAGUCCCAGAAAACCUCUCAAAGCCUUCAAGUUUCUGGGUUCUCCCCAUUCCACCACUGCCUUAAUCUUCUCCCUGUCCAUUUCCACCCCCUGCUCAGAGAUUUGAUGAUCCAGAAUCUUUCUCUUCCCAAAGUCACAUUUCUUCCAGUUGGCCACCCACCCCUUUUGUUCUAAUAGUUGCAUCACCAAAUUCAGCUGUCUCAAGUGGUCUUCCCAACUCGGGCUAUAGACGAGAUUAUUGUCAAAGAACACCAGCACCCACUUCCUAAAAUAUUGCUGCAAUAGGCUAUUCAUCGUGCUCUGGAAAGUUGUCGAUGCAUUCGUGAGGCCAAAUGGCACUACCAGAAACUCAAAAUGACCUAAGUGUGUGUGAAAGGAGUCUUGGCCACAUCUUCUUCUUCCAUCCCGAUCUGGUGGUACCCAGAUUUUAAAUCAAUUUUAAAAAAAUACCUGGCACCCUUUAGUUCAUCUAACAAUUCUUCUAUCACCAUAAUAGGGAAUUUGUCCAGUACGGUGGCCUUGUUUAGUGCCCGAUAAUCUACACAAAAGCGCCAACUUCCAUCCUUCUUCUUUACUAGGAUGACCGGGUUGGAAAACGGACUCGUGCUGGGGCGUAUGAUCCCGACCUUCAACAUAUCUUCUACUUGUUUUUCAAUCUCGCCUUUCAUGAUGUGAGGAUACCGGUAUGGCCUCACAUUUAUAGGGUCGACACCUUCUUUAAGCUGUAUUCGGUGCUAGUUAUUACGUGGCGGAGGCAAUCCAUGCAAAUCUCGGAACAAGCGAUAGUGCACCUGCAGCACGGUUUCCAAUUCCACUUCCUGCUCUGCUGUCAAAUCUUGCUCCCACUCACCGUUCUUCUAUGCCUCCACUAUGCUUAAAUCCCACACCAUCGCCCAUGACUCAGCAUCCACCAUCUUCCGCAAUGAUUCCUAUUUAACCAGGUGUCACGACAAGGCUGGUUCACCCUUUAUUCUGAUCUUCUUAUCCCCCACGUUAUACACCAUCGUCAUAUCACCCCAAUUGGUCCUGACUUCUCCCAAUUUUGCUAGUCAUGCAAUGCCUAGAAUCAUGUCCACUCCCCCUAACUCAAAAAUAUAGAACUCUUCUUCCACAUUGACUUCCUCCAAUCGAACAGUUACCCUUUCACAACGUCCUUGGGUAAUCCUUUUAUACCCAUCGCCUAAACUCACUGGGUACGGUGGUGUAUCUAUCACCGACAAUCCUAACUCCUCUGUUAUCCUCCUGCAAAUGUAGUUAUGGCUUGCGCCAUUGUCUAUAAGCACCACUACACUCCAUUCAAAAAUUUUCCCCCUCAACUUCAAGGUUCGUGGAGUGGUCAGCCCUUCAGUCGAACAUGCAGACAAUUCCAUGGGUGUUUCCUCCUGGUCGCUAGUUACCUCACCCUCUUCUCCAUCUUCAUCCUCUGCCAGCAGCAGUACCCUUAAACUCCUCUCAGCGCACCGAUGACCUGGUGCAAACGGGCCCCUGCAUCAGAAACAAGGACCAUCCUCCUUUCUCUUGAGAAAUUCGGGGUAAGGCAAAUUUCUCACCAUUCGCCCUCGAUUGUCGCUCCUAGCCGCAUUACUUCCCCUCGCUAUCGUGCUCUCCAUGACUCCAUCCCUUCUCACGAACCCCGAAACCUCUGUUCUCCCCUGUGUCUGCGUCGUUUGUCUGUUGGGUUCUUAUCUCAUCACAAUUCCCGUUGAUCUCGAACCGAAUGGGUUUAUCUUGAACCCACUAGCAUGGCCUCCUUGUGCUCUCAUCAUCGCGUCUUCCACAUCACGCGCUAUUCUCAUCGCCUCCAUUAACUCCGAUGGGUUCUGAAUCCGCACCUAACCCUUCACGUCCUCUCGUAAUCCAGCCAAGAAGUAACCCAUUACCUGCUCCUCGAGUAUCCCCUUUGUUUUCCCCAUCAAGACUUCAAAAUUACGAACAAAUUCCUCUACCGUUCCUUCUUGACGUAGAGUAGCUAGUCACUCAAACACGGUUCCCCUAAAUCCUCCACCGAAAUGAUUGAUCAUGGCCGCUUUCAACCCGUUGCACGAACGGUUUCUGGCCUUCUCCUUCCAAAACGUGAACCAAUACGCCAUACUCCCUUCCAUGCUCACGUAAGCGACCUCCACCUUUUCCUCAUCGUUCGUCACCUUUUGUAUAUCGAAAAAUCUUUCGGCUCUGUUGAGCCAACUUAGAGGCUCCUCGUCGUCAAAGGUAGGUAACUCUACCCUUUUCCUCCAAGGUCUUUGUUCAUCACUCCUUUCGCCAGUUCCACCACCUCCGGUCUCCCCAAUCACUCUGUGUCGAUUGUCAUUUACGGAGCUAUCGUCAGAGCUGUUCUCCGUUUGAUUGCCCUGCUUACCCAGAAUUUUCAUAAUUUGUUGUAAAUCUCGUCGUACCGCCACCGACUCCGCCUUCAUUCCCCCAUCGUUAUCUCAAUCGCUUCCAAUCUCGCCUCCGUCGCAUUCUCCAUUCUCGCGUCGUUCCCCAAAUUUGGAUCUGGCAGGUCGGACCAAAUGUUAGGUUUCUAAUCAAGAAACCUAAAGAAAUCUCACUAACUCACACAAGAAUCAACACCCAACGCUCUGUAUAACCUCCACUGGUAUUAUUUAGUGCAAGAAUACAAUGAAUAGGGUAGUCUGGGAGCCUAACCUCCCCCAACAGGAAUAACGAAUCAUGUACAAAGUAUACAACAGUCAAAAGUAAGUCCUUUCUACUAACUCUUACUAUUUAUACAAAUCCAAUCCCUCUCAUUCCUAACUAUCAAAACAGUUAAGCUAACAGUUAAACUACUUACACUUCCUUCUCCUCUCAUACACUAACAAUCUCCUAUCAGUACUGAUAACUAAAGAAAAAUGCCUAAACCUUAAUACAUAUUCUGAUUAAAUUUAAUAACCAAGAGAUCCAGAACUCAGCAGCUGCAACAGAACAACCAAUAACCAAUCCUAACACAGCAAAAGGCCAAUCACUGUGUCCAAAAACAACCAAGUAAUGAAACUAAAUAAGCUUUAACCGUACAACCCCAAAGCAGAACAACUAAUCUAAAUUCUAAAAUCUUCUAAACAUCAUGUUCAGCAGCAAUGUCAAGCAUUUCAUCUUCAUCUAAAUUCUAUACAUGAAGCAUACAAGAAAACUGAAGAAUUUGGGCUUGUAAUGGAGUUUUACAUUUUUAUCCUCAAUGAAAACAUUGUUCCUAAUAUAGAAAUGUUGCCACCUUAAGGUGGCCAGUCUGCUCUUGUGUGAUGUUGGCGCUAUUGCGCACAAUCACAAGCAAAAUCCAGCAAUGGAGUAAUGAUAAUAGUAAGACAAAAAGGUAAUGAGGAUCAAACCAAAUUUUGUGGUAAAAUCUUCUUACCUGGGUAUUUUCAUUAUAUUAAAUACUUCUCUAAAAUAACCAACAGGUUCCUUCCAGUCCACGAGGAAUCUCUUUACCUACCAUACCCACACUUGCUUUUAGCUAAACACAAUCAAUGAUAAUUAUUAUGUACGCGUUGAUUCAAUCACAUCUAGCAUCUAGAACAAGCUUAUCUAGUCUAACAUGCUUAACAGACUCAUACUUAAGCCUGAUCAUUUACCAAUCAAUCUAUUCUACUUCUGAGCCCUUGCUUUUAAAUGCAGAAGCGGACAUUUAAAAACACAAGCUCCAGAAGUACAUAAAUUCAAUUAAAGUCACACAAGAUUUCCUAGUUUGUAGAACAAAAGGAAAAGGCGUCAUCUAACAAAACUUUACAAUCUAUCACUACAAAACACAUCAACUCAACUCUAAAAAUAAGAACCAUUGUAACAAACACUCAAAGGUAAGACAUGUGUGUUUGACAGGGUCAAAGGAUUUAAAAGACAUUGGGGUGUUACAAUGCAAGAAUAAAGAUGCUAAAAAAAAGAAUGAGCUGCGAGAAAGUUAUCUGUCUAUACAUUAAAUAAACCAUACAGUAAACUUUCAGAAUAGCAAUCAUUGCGCAAUCUCAUAAUCCCCAAUAGAAAAUCAUCCUGCUACCUAUCACUUGUAAGACUUAGACUCCUCGUGAAUUUAAAGAGCUAGAGGCUGGUAUGAGUAAAUGAGUGAAUUGAUGCAUUGUGUUAUUUUCUUUUGGCUGUAAACUGAGCAGAGGUUCUUUGCAACCUCUAAAGGAGCUAGGUCAGCAUUUAGUAAAUAAACAUACUCCUCAAUUCCCAACAGUUGAAAAUUUACAAUUUUAUCUCUUCUACAUGUUUGCAAUGUGAGCAUGCCAUAUGAUAUACCCUUAAUGUAGAGUGCAUAGGUGGGUGAAUUAGGAAGAAACCAGGUGUCUAAUCUCUAUAGUUCAAAGCCUUUAAUUUUAACAACACUAGCAAGCUAGCACAUGAAGUAAUUAUACUAAUCAGACACCUUGAAAUUUGUUGAAAAACCAUAAAUAGAAAAAUAAAUCAGAAACAAUAAAAAAAAUCAAUUAUGUAAAAACUAAUUAAACAAAUCAAACACCAAAUGUGAUCUAAUCUAGCAAUAAUUCAGACGACUAUAUUGGAAAGAAAAAAUCACCUUAGCACUGGAAAUUAACUGUCUCCUUUUUUGAAUAUCAGCAAACAAACCAGAAUACGUGACUUCAAAACAAAUCCCACGCUGCAAUUAAUAAGCGACGUUUUAAUUAUCACCUUCCUUUUUAGUUAUAAGAAAAUAAAAGAUUAACAGUCAAGAACAAACCUGCAUUGCUACUUUAACCAUAGGCUGCUUCAAUCUAAACGGCAAUUUAGCUGAAAAAUCAAUCGAGAUAAUAUCCACCUGCAAUUAUUUUUAAUAUCAGACUUAAAUAUCAGAAGUUGUCCUUCCGUCAACAUAAAGAAUUCUGUAAUAAUCAACACCCACAUUUGAAGGUUUCAUAACAAGACAACAGGUUGGUAGAGUUAAUUUUCGUGUUCCUUCUGUAGCAAUAAAAAGGGGGGGUUUAUAAGAAAAAGAUACAUUAAACUUAACACGCUGCUUGCUGAUGUUCAAUUAUGUGCUUAAGAACUGAAAAUUGAAAACCACUACCAAGCAGUAUUAAGGUUCAAUUUUUUCUUCUUCUAAAAAAGAAAAUAAUCUAAAACCUGAGAGUGAACUCUACCAGCCAGUUAAAACAUUCUGAAACCAUCUAAACAAUACAUAAACAUUGAAAGAAAGGUCUGUAUCAGAAGAAAAAAAAACUGACAGAGAAAGAGAGAACAUGAAACACCAAGCACGGGUAUUGACUACUGCAGAAUUAUCCCAACCUCAAAAGGGCAACUGCAUUUAACUGCUCUACCUUCACAAUUUAGUGUAUAAAAGACCAUCCAAGUGAAAGGAGAUAAAAUUUAUACACUACCCUUACUUUCAAAAUCGCUAACACCUAAGCAAUGUGGGACUAAAAACAACUUUCAGGAAAGGGUACAUUAGAUAUAACGAACCUCCAUGGUCUGACACGCAAGAUCAAACGCGGUCUGGUUGAAGGGUUUAACAGCGACGAGAUCGUAGGUCUUCAAAAUGGGGUUCCCCGAAUUGAGGGCCUGGGCCUGGGUAGCGCUGUCUACGCAAACGGUGAGACGCGUGUACUGACGGAAGGGAGUAGAGAGUGGAACUCCGAGGAUGGAGCGGUGAAGACUGGCGGAGAGGGAGAGAGAGGGAAGAACGUUGAGGAGAGAGGAGAGGGUGAGGGGGGCAAUGGAGCAACGGUGCUGAUCAGACAUGACGCCUUUGAUCGUGCGGUUGUAAGCGAUUCCGGUGUAACCCAACUCCAUGGCCUUCACCGCAAGCCUGGUGCGGUUGCUUUGUUCGGCAACCUUGUUGGAGAGUGAGGGUUGGGGAUAGGGAAUGUUGAGAUCGAAGUAACCCAUGGUUGUUGUCGGAGAUGCAUACACGGAGUUUGGCGGUGAACAGUGAAACGCUUCUACGGCAAAGAGGGAAUGUGAGAGUGAGGCUGCAAAGAGAAGAAUAAAAUGGGAGGGUGGAUCAAGGUCUCUUUCUUUUCGAUUAUUUUCUUUUUCUUAUUUAUUUAUUUAUUUAUUUAUUAUAUCUUCAAAAUAUAUUAAUUCUGAUAUAUUAAAAGAUAUUUUUAAAUACAAAAAUACUGUACAUAAGUAUUUUGAAGAACAUAAAAAUUGAUUAAAAAAUUUCAAAUUUUAAAUAAUUUUAUGAUGUUUUAAUACCUAGUAUUCUUUUUAGUUUUAUUCAAAAUGAUCUUUUUAUUUUUGAAUUAUUUGUGAUUUCAUUUUCUUUUUAAAUAGUUUAAUUUGGUUCUUUUUAUAACACAUUGCCAUGUCACGUGGUAAUGUUAAAAGGUUUUAUUUCAAUUUUUAUAUUUUUCUUUUUAUUAAUAUUAUCAUCUUUUUCUUGUCCAAGUCUUCAUCAGUCACGGAGUGGAAAAACCUUGUCGGGCAUUAACUAUGAUAUAGUAGUAGUUUCAGAUAGAAGUGCAAAUUUUACUACAAUCUUUGAAGCAAUACCAGCUGCUCUUGUGUUGAGUCCUAUGAGGCUUUUAUAAAAAUUAAAGGUAUAAUAUAUUAGGAGAAUUGAGUAGUUUCUUCUAACAAGACUAGCCUCUUUUUCAUUGGGGAUGGAAGAGGCAUUAUUGUCAUUACCGCAACUAAAAAUGCGUGUAAUGGUUAUGGUACAUUGGAAACUACCACCGUAGGUGACUUUAUCCUUGUCUACAUACAAACUACAACUUAUCUCUUGUUUUAAUUUAUUUAUCCAUGACUUUGCAUGGUUAAAUAUGUUUGUAGAAUGAAAAUAAACAAUUUUUAAAUUAACCUUGGUGGUAUAGUUGUCGAAACUAUAGAUUUUCCCACGAGUAGCAUUAAUUUCCAAAAUACAAUAGGACCUUCAAAGCAACAAGUCAUCGUCCUAGCAAUAAGAGGAGAUCGAUCAACAUUUUACAACUAUGAGAUGCUUGGAUAUCAAGACAUUAUGUAUGUUUUGUAUGGUAAUCAUUUUUUCUUUGUGUUGUAUCUUAUUAAAGGCACAAUAGAUUUUAUUUUUGGGGAAUUGGGACAAGAGGUAUUAAAAGACUAUGACAUCCAAGUAAGAAUUCCUCCCCGAGGCCAUGAGAACAUUAUAAUUGCGCAAGGAAGAAAUGUUAAGAACGACUCAGGUGCCAUUGUAAUCUAAAAUUGUAGGAUUGGUCUGAGUCCCGAGUUUGAAGUCAUGAAAUAGACUUUGCAAACAUAUCAAGGAAGGCUCUGGAAAAACUAUUCUACGAUUAUUAUCACAAAAAUUUUAUAACUAAUAUAACUAACCCAACUGACUGGUUUUAGUGGGAGGGCACUAGUUAUGGUCUUAACACUCUAUUUUAUAGAGAGUAUAAAAACAUUGGAUCCGGUGCUCAAACAUCCAAAAGAGUUAAAUGGAAGGGAUUCAAGAUAAUCAUGCAUGUUGCUGCAGCUGAGCCUUUUACUCCAAGAAACUUCAUUUGUGGCUCUCAUUGCCUCAAUUUUAUAAGAUUUCUCUAUAAACUGGACUUGCAAAUUCUUUGAUGAUGUAUUUACAUGAUUACUUAAUAACAUAAAUCAAUUACAAAUCCUAUCGUCUUAAUGAGAUUUUAGUCUUUAAAUGUGCAACCGUUGAGUUUUAGAAUUUGAUAUUUGUACCUAUAAGUGUCGAUCAGCACAUAACACGAAUGAUGAACUCUGGCUUGGCAAAGGGACAGCCAAGCUUGGCCGGGCACAAAAAGGAACUAGGAUGAAUGAUAAAUUCAUAGUUUGAAGUGCAAGCCGGAUGGCAUCUGGUCUUCUCGUCAUCAAAGUACCAAACACAACUCCACAUUGUAGAAUAUGAAAGGAAUAAUAUUACUAAGGAAUAACAUAACUUAGAAAUUCAAGACAUAGUUUUGCUCUUUGCAUAAAACUACAACAAAAAAGUACAAGUUGUCCUCCCAAUUACAUUCCUUUAUAUAAAAACAAAAGUUAUUUUUUUUUCGGUUACUGCCAUUUUUCCCAUAAUUCCUCAUGACGCUGAAAAGAUGCCCAAAAUUUGAAUUUUCAAAAACAGUGAAAAGCAGCUCCAAAAGGUUGUUUUGUCGUUGCUUUUGUUGUGUGAAUCUUUGUUGCUGCAAAAUUUGUUUUAUCUGUUGAGGUGGCAGUGCACACUUUAAUCAAGGCAGUUCUCGGGUUCAACCUUCUUCUCUUCCCAAGAUCUUAUAUGGUCGACCUCUUACCUGUCUGAGCUCUACAUCAAAAGCUCAAUAACUUUAACAAUUCGGCAACUUCUCAACUCUACAUCAACAAUCCGAGAACAUCUCAAAUUGGCAUCAACACCCUAACAACUUAAAUGUAGCACGACAGUUCAACCUGAUGUUUCUUAACAUGCACAACUUUUGCCUCUUGGUUGUUGUCAUGGUUUAAAAGGUUGUUUUGUCUCCUUUUUUUGCGAAAUUUUGCGCAGGUCUCAGGGCCAAAGACAAUAAUAAGAGAAGUUUUAUUAUAAACAAGACUUUCCUAAAUGACACUUACAAAACAAGAUACUCAUUCAUCGACAAUGCGAGCAACCCAUUCAUUACAAGGUAUGCCCAGAAGUGGUCAAGUGAACUCAUCUCGCUCAUCGAUCAUGUCAAAUCGUCCUAUAAAAGAAGUGAAUUCUAACAACCACAGUUACAAUCCGAUCCAAUUUUUAAUGGAAGUUCGAUUAACUAACAAAACUUCUCCUUCCAAAAAUGUGCUUCUACCUUGAAGAUUUGCAUAAUUUUUUAACUUUAUUAAAAAAUAUAAUUAAUUUUAGAAUUACGUUUAGGUUAUAUAAAAUAUACAUUAAUGUUUGCUUAAUCCUAGACUUAUUCUUCACAUGUUGAUUGUUAGAUAAUUUUAUACUUAUUAUAUAUAUUCUUAUAUAUAUGUGUUUGCUUUUAUAUAAAUCUACAAAGUAACAUUUUCUAAGCCUAAUGAAAAAUUUGUUCAUAAUCUUUGUCACAUUCUUUUUAUUACCCAAGUGUUUAAACCGUCAAAAUUUCAAAACACUGCUACAAGACAAAUAUAUAAAUACGUAUAUAUAUAUAUAUAUAUAUAUAUAUAUAUAUAUAUAUAUAUAUAUAUAUAUCGAAAAUCUUCCUAGCAAAGAGUUCCAGGUAAGCGUGUCCCGUUAGACCCAACAGGUGAAAUGUCCAAGAAUCAACACUUUAGCUCCUGGUGAUACCUCUGUGAAACCAAGCCUUCUUUGUCUUGUGAUUGGGUGAAGAGAGGUUCUCUUAUUUCAUUCGCUUUUUUAAAAUCAGAAUCUCCCCAAGCCAAAUUUCUUUUGUCCUUUGAUGAAAAUGUCCUCUCCAAAUUCCCAAUCCUCCUCCUGCAAAAAAACCGUUUUCGUCUGCCAAAAACUCAAAUUGCGUCUUGCCCUAUCCUUGCCUAUCAGACUCCUUGUCGCUUUGCACACCUCCUCUCCCUCAGCCAAAACGUUUCAAACUUUCUUUCUUUUUUUUCACUAACUUAAAUUAUAUUAGGACAAAACUAACAAUAAAAGUAAAGACAAAACCCAAAAUGAAAAUUACAAAAAGAAAAAUAAAAUAAAAUAAACUAAAAAUGAAAUAAAAUAGAAUACUAAAUAAAAAUAGAGGAAUAAAAUAAAUAAAUAAAUAAAUAAAAUUAAAAUCGAAAUGAAAACAUAAGACCUAAAACCAAUCCAGACAAAAUUUGGUAUUGACAUAUCCCAUGUGUUUAAACCGAAAAAGUAAAAAGUAAGACUAUUAUUGGACAAAUAUAUACAUACGUACCUACAUACCUACAUACGUACUUACCUAUCUAUAUAUAUAUAUAUAUAUAUAUAUAUAUAUAUAUAUAUAUAUAUAUANNNNNNNNNNNNNNNNNNNNNNNNNNNNNNNNNNNNNNNNNNNNNNNNNNNNNNNNNNNNNNNNNNNNNNNNNNNNNNNNNNNNNNNNNNNNNNNNNNNNNNNNNNNNNNNNNNNNNNNNNNNNNNNNNNNNNNNNNNNNNNNNNNNNNNNNNNNNNNNNNNNNNNNNNNNNNNNNNNNNNNNNNNNNNNNNNNNNNNNNNNNNNNNNNNNNNNNNNNNNNNNNNNNNNNNNNNNNNNNNNNNNNNNNNNNNNNNNNNNNNNNNNNNNNNNNNNNNNNNNNNNNNNNNNNNNNNNNNNNNNNNNNNNNNNNNNNNNNNNNNNNNNNNNNNNNNNNNNNNNNNNNNNNNNNNNNNNNNNNNNNNNNNNNNNNNNNNNNNNNNNNNNNNNNNNNNNNNNNNNNNNNNNNNNNNNNNNNNNNNNNNNNNNNNNNNNNNNNNNNNNNNNNNNNNNNNNNNNNNNNNNNNNNNNNNNNNNNNNNNNNNNNNNNNNNNNNNNNNNNNNNNNNNNNNNNGUUAACGGCCGUUUAAAUAUUAAUGACGUGGCAUUAUAAAUUAAUUUUAUAUGAAUAAUUAUUAAUAAAUAUUUGUGUGAUCAGGAUUUUAGAAGGGUAAAUUUGGAAUAGAAAAUAAUUUCUUCUUCCUUCGCAGAACCCAAACAUAGCUCCCACUUCAUCUUCUUCCUCCGCAAAACCCAAAGUUCAUCUUCUUCCUCAAACCAACCCCAAAACAGAAAUUUGCAUAUCUCGGAAUUUCGAUCUUUUUNCUCAGACCGAACAAAAAUAACCAAAUCCUUUAUAAAACCCUAAUUUCGAUCUUUUUCCCCAAUUCAAUUUGGGAUUUUUCUUAUCCUUUCCGGUUUGGUUUGGUCUGCUUACAGGGGAACCAUUCUUCUUCCCCUUCGUUUUCCUCUUCUAGGUCUCUUGGUCAAGCCGCAAAGCCCGACACUCUCUGUCGAGCCCGCCACCGUCACAGUAUAGCCCGCCGCCAAUGCUGCCAAGAGCCGAUGGAGCUUCAUAGGGUUAGUGGCGAUUCUCCCUCUGCUUCUUUUGUUCUGAUAAUUGUAGCCAUCUCCCUGUAUUGGGUUUCGUCUUCUGUAUGUAUCUACUGUGUGAUGAACCGGAAGAGAGGAUUUGAUGCUUCGAAUCCAAGAAUUUGGAUGGAUUAGUGUGUGAUGAUGGGGAAGCGUAGUGGAGAUUAGGGGGCUGAUUUGGUCUUCUCAGUUUUGAUUUGAAUCUAUUGGAUGCAUACAGAGGGUGGGAGAGUUUGNGCGUGAGGGAAGAUGGUGCUUCUUGUGCCCNAGUUGAAGAUGAUGGGCGAAUCAAAUUCCUUAUGUUUAAUGGAUGAAAUUGGCUCCAGUAGGGUGUCGAAUGAAAUUUCAAUUUGCAUUUUGAGAAGUUUCGUUCUUGUUUCCCAGUUUAGGUUUUGAGUGUCAAAAUUCUGGUUUGGGAAAUCUUGUGCUCUUGAUCUGGUUUGAUCUUUUGCAGUGGUUAUGAUGGCAGCGACAACCGUUUCGUGGUGGUUGACAACGGAGUUGCUCCUUUCUAACAUGAGAUUAUCGUGGUGGCUCCCACAGAAAACCCAGAGAGCGAAAAUGGUGAAAAUGGUCUCCUCUGUUUUCCAUUUUUCUUCUUCGAACCCAAAUCACCGAAUUCUUCCGAUAAUAGAUCUGAGCUUUUUUCCUUUAAAUCUUAGGGUUUUGAAUUUUUGGGAUCUGGAUAGGUUUGUGAUCUUGAGAAGAUUAGAGUUUGUAGAUGUAGUAUUUUAAUGUUUGGUAGUACUGUUGGGUGAUGUUAUUUGGGAAGAAGAUGAAUUCAGGUUCUGGAGAGGAGGAAGAAGAAAGUUCUCACUUUGCCCUUCUAUAAAAUCUAUAUUCAUUAAUAGUUUUUAAUAUAAAAUUAAUUUAUAAUGCCACGUCACCAAAUUUAAACGACCGUUAACUAUUUUUAACGAUAGGGACUGAAUUGCUUCAAAUUAGCACUUUUGAGGACCCAAUUGGGAAGUUUUAUAAGAACAGGACCAAAAUGGGAAGACUUUACGAAAACAGGGACGCCUAAGUGGUUUUAACCUUAUUUAUAUAAGACAAAUGUAUACGUACGUACGUGUGUAUAUAUAUAUAUAUAUAUAUAUAUAUAUAUAUAUAUAUAUAUAUAUAUAUAUAUAUAUAUAUAUAUUCGUGCAUAUAUAUUUCUCAUGUGUUUAAAUCGGUAACAAGGAAGGCUGUUACAGAACGAAUAUAUAUGUUAAACUACUUUUCAGUCGCUUAAAGCAGAACAAAAUUGGUUCCCACUAAUGUAAUAUAGGACUGACCAAGAUAUCAAUCCGCAGAUUCAACAAAAUUAAAUUUUAAAGUGUAGAGUAAAAGUCUUUUAUUUAUUUACUAAUUAUUAACUACUAAUGGAAGGUGGGGACAGUAAAAAAAAUGAAACUAAUUGUCUUCAAUCGUCAUGGUAAACUUCUUGCUGGUAAAUUUCUACUUACCCUUUUGACAUUUUGGUUUCUUUCAGGUUAGAGUUAUUUCUUUCCAAUUCUUAAACAUUGAAAUCUGCUUCUGGAAGCAAAAGGAAAGUGAUUCUUGAAGGAUGUUUUAACACAUGGUAUUUUUUUUCUUUGGUAAUAUUUUUACUUUCGAUUUUGUUACUGUUAUAUUCUCUAGCAACCACUGUCACAAGUGCAGAAUAGUGUCUACUUCACUUUUUCAACACUGGGAAACACUUUUGACUCAAUCUAAUGUUUUUCAACCAUGUAACAAUUAAAAGAUUGUUUUUUUAGUUCACACAUUUUUUCCUAAAACAUCUUAGACAUAUUUUACUAAAGUAAAACAAAAGAAAACGACUUAUGUUGUAAACAUCGUAUGAGUCGUAGCAUUUUUUUAGGUUUGUUUUCUCUGAUUUUAUUUAGUUAUUUUGAUUAUUACAAGAUAUUUUUACCAAGAAUUAUGUUGUGAGAGUAUUACUAUAUGAAGAUUGUAAAGUGAGAAAAUUUUGUUUUUUGGUUUAGAGUAUAUAAAUCUUUAUUCUCCAUUUUAAUUUUUGUAAUGAUGUUAGUGAAAGUGGAGCAUGAUAUAGUUUAAAAUUUGUACAUGUAUCAGUAGAUAAGUUAUUUACUGAUACUAAGUAUCUCUUUGUGAUUUAUGUAGUAGUUCCAUAAUACAAGAAGACCUUCAAAACAACAAGUUAUCGCCCUAACAGUAACACGGAAUCGAUCAACAUUUUACAACUGUGAGAUUCUUGGAUAUCAAUACACUAUGUAUGCUUUGCAUGAUAAUAAUUUUUAUGUGCAGUGUCUUAUUGAGGGCAUAGUAGAUUAUAUGUUUGGUGAAUUGGGACAAGUGUUGUUACAAAACUAUGACAUCCAAGUGAGAAUUUCUCUCCAAGACUAGGAGAACAUUAUUACUAUGCAAGGAAGAAAUGUUGUGAACGACCCACGUGGCAUUUCAAUGCAAAACUAUAGGAUUGGUGCGAGUCCCUGAGUUUGAAGUCGUGAAACAGAAUUUUCAAACAUAUCCAGAGAGGCCCAAAAAGAAUUAUUUCAGGACUAUCUAUUAUCAUGGAAAUUUUUAUGACUGGUAUAAUUAACCCAACUGUUGGUUUGAGUGGGGGGCACUAGUUUCGUCUUAACACAUUAUUCUAUAGCGAGUAUAAAAACGUUGAACCUAGUGAUCAAACUUCAAAAAAGUUAAAUGGAACAAAUUCAAGGUGAUUAUAUAUCUUGCUAAAGCCGAACCUUUUACCACGAAAAACUUCAUUGGUGACUCUCAUUGGCUCAAUUCUACUUAAUUUCCCUAUAAACUAGACUUGUAAAUUCUUUGAUGAAGUAUAUAAAUGAUUACAUGAUAAAAUAAAGCAACACAAAUCUUUUAAACUUAACAUGAAGAACUCAUUCAUAAUCUUGGUCACAUUCCUCAUCAUAUCCCAUGUGUUUAAACCACCAAAGUGAAAAGAAAGAUUGUUAUAAGACGAAUAUAUAUGUACGUACAUACAUAUAUAUGUAUGUCCAUAUAUAUUUCCCACAUGUUUAAACCGAUAGCAAAGGGGGUUGCUUAAGAACAAAUAUAUAAAUAUGUAUGUACAUACAUAUAUAUGUACUUAAUACGUACAUUACGUAGUACGUAUAUACACAUAAAUAUAUACAUACAUAUGUUUAGUCAUAGAAGGUUUAUUAUAUAUAUAAGACGAAUAUAUAUGUACAUACAAACACACACAUAUAUAAGAGUCCAUGUUAGAUCAUUUUAGUUUUCAAUUGCAUUGAAUUAGAUUAGUUUUAGGUUUUUGUAUUAAAUGUUAGGUUUUGUAAAAUUUUAGUUAAAAAUAGCUUUUUAGGGGUAAUUUUUAGUUUUUGUUAAUAAUUAGAAAAUUAAUGUUUUUAGAAUUUCUUUCAUUUGAUUUUUCUUUUCUUCCUUUAAUUUUGAAUUUUUUUUCUUUUCAUUUUUAUAGGUUGGGCUUGAUUGGGUUGCACCUGAAUUAAUAAUGCUAAAAUUUGUAUAUGUGCAGGAGCUGCAUGAAACAAUAUGCAUUGGGCUGGAGCUGAUCUGAAGGUUUGAAUUGGGCCGCUGAGUUUGUAUUGGGCCACACUUGAAAUUGAGCCAUUGAUAAAUGUUGCUGCUGGAAUUGCGCUGCACUGCAAGUGGAUAUAAGAGCUGACCUGGAGCACUGUUGCUGCUAAACUGGGUCGAAGUCUACAUUGGACUCAAAUGAUGCGUUGCAUUUUGGCACUGGAGCUGUUGCUGCCAUAGGGGUCUCUUCCCCUCAUUUUCAAUUAGCAAAGUUGUUGUAGUAGUGUUGUAAAAGAAUUGGGCCGCGGGUGAAAUUGACUGGCAUGGGCUUAAGUGGAACGACGCAGUUUUGUUGUGCAUUGGAUGACUUAGCAGCUGCUGUUUUCCUUAGGGGUCUUUUCCCUAAUCUUCAUUUGCAAAAGAGCUCGAUCAAUUUUCUAGAGAGGAAAAGAACCCAUCACAGAGACACUUUUCAUUUUAACGUUUUUGUUUUAGAGUAGACGCGAGAGCUUAGGGUUUUAGCGCAUUUUCAGACAAUUCGAGUUCUCGUGUUCCUACUCGCAUUUUGUUUGGUACUUUUUCCUUUAUUCUUAGUUUCUCUUUAAUAAAGUUUCUUUUAUGUUGAUGUGUUUUUGUAAUGUGCUUUAUCUGUUGAUUUGAUUGUUUUUUUUCUUCAAUGUUUUUGUGUUUCUUGUGUGCUUUUGAUUCGAAAAUGAGUUGAACUCGUAACUCUGCAUAUUGUAAUUCCUUUUUGGAAUUAAACAACCCCAAGGUGGGCGUGCAUGACCGAGAUGUCUUCUUUAGUCAGAGUUGAGUCAACGCUUAAAGAUUCAUCAGAUUUAUGUUUCUAUUUUUUUCUUUCUAUUAUGUGUGAUUGUAUGUUGUAAUUGAACUCUCUUUGAGAACUGUGAAGGAAAACAUCCACAUAUCUACAUCUGUUUUGGAUGUAAUAGGACCCUGGAUUGGGCCUAGGUUUUCGAGAGGUCUUCUUGAGAGAUGUUAAGCUUCAUAAUUGUCAAACUAAGUUCAAUUUCAGUGUUGUGUUUUCAUUUCUUGUGAAACUAUGCAUUGGUUGAAUAAUUGAGUGAGAAUUUCCACUUUAAGUUCUGAAAUAUGAACUAAAAAGACCUUGUGAUGGGCUUAACUUUCUCGGAAUGUCUUUCUGAAGAGGAAUUGAGACUCUUUCAUUCAAUCUAUUGCACAUUUGUCUCUAUUCUUUGCUUGUGCCUAAUAUUUUGGGUUUAUUGUUUCAUUUUUUUAGUAUUUUUGUUGAAUUGAUGUUAAAAUAGUCUUAGUUUUGAUUGUGAUUUUUACUUUACCUUCCAUUCGGUUCUGUUCUGUGAUCAUCUAGUCUUUACAUUAACAUUUGUUAGAAUAGGCAUACAACUAGGAGAUUCAUUUGCUCAUUGAUUUCAUAUGUUGAGCAUUAGGUUUCUUUAAUUUGCAUAUCCAGAUUCAUUAGUUUUAGAUCAUUUUAAUUGCAUAGGUUUUAUCUCAGUUUUAGGUAGUUAUAGUAAUUAGAUUUUAUUUCUGUUUUGAGUAGUUUAGACUAUUAUUUCCUUUUCUUUUAUUGCAUUUCAAUUUCUUUAUUCUUUUAACCAGAUUUUAGUUUAGUCUAGUUCCAAUUCUUUUAUCUUGUUUAGUUUUAUUCAUUUUAAUUUCCCCACCUUUUUAGUAGUUAGUAAAAAAUAAAAUAAAAGCAAGAAUUAACCAAACACUUUGAACUUAAUUAUAUCGAGUCUGAGGAUUGAUACCUAAAUUGUCCCUUUACACAUUACUGGGGAAACUUAGUUUAUUCUGAUUUUAGGCGACAAAAAUCAGUUCAACAAUAUAUAUAUAUAUAUAUAUAUAUAUAUAUAUAUAUAUAUAUAUAUAUAUAUAUAUAUAUAUAUAUAUAUAUAUAUAUAUAUAUAUUGUUUCGGUAGAUAUUUUGUGGGACUGAGACACUAACCUUUUCUGAUGUGGCUUUACUGCUUUCCGAUGCUUGAACUGGGUUCUCUGAUUAUCUUCUUUCCGCUUGGACCGCUCGAUCGCCUGCAAUCUUGGUCGUUCGGUGAUCUUCAAGCUCUGACCGUUUGUCCGCCUUCCCGAUGGAGAGGGGGAGGUACCUGCAAAAGGCACUCCGACGCCCAAGUCAGGCGUGUAUUGAAGAGCAUCGACUCUUGAUUGAAUAUUUAGUGAAGGGUUUUCACUAUUUGAGUAUUUGAGAAUAUGAGUUGAAUUUGAUUGGAAGGUGAUUCGAAGGUACCUGGCUUGUGACCCUGGCUCUCUAUUUAUAAUUUGUCUCAUGGUCCUUAAACUCAUAUAAGCCCAAUAGAAUAAAAUAUAAACAAAAUAUAAUAUAAAUAGACUUACAUGAAAAUCUUGUUAGUUGCUAAAUAUCUUUAAUAAGAUGUUCUUGAUUAUUCUAUAUUUUUAAUAAGAUAUAUCGUAACCACUCGGCCUUGAUAUUAUAUCGUACAUUAUGCCCCCCAAGUCCGAGUUAAUCGUUCGGUUUUAGCCGAGGUUAACUAUAGGACUUAUGGUUUGAAGGAGGCUGUGUUGGGGAGCGUGCAUCUAGGUGUUGCUCAUCUGUGGACCUCCCAGUAGGCAUGGAUGGUUUUCCGUGACCCAGGAGUUCCUGGAGAAUCUCCCAGUAGACAAGAAUGGUUGUUCGUGGCCCAAGAGUUCCUGGAGAAUCUCCCAGUACACAAGAACGGUUGUUUGUGAUGGGGGAAAGGGCCAAAACAAAUAACAACUUAUCAAGGAGUAAUAAUGCAGCAGAAAUUCAAUCCCCCUUCUUGCGAGAAUCUGCGAGGAGCACCAAACAAAUAAAACAAAAAAUAGAAUCCAAAGCACAAAGAGACACCAACAAUUUUUAACGUGGAAAACCCCUCAAUGCAAAGGUAAAAACCACGAGUCGUCCAGACCAAAGAAAAAUCCACUAUGAUCAAUAAUAGGGUACAAAAGAGUCUCCAAUAAUAAUACCAAAAGGUAUUUUCAAUAAGCCAAGUUAACUAAGCACAAAUGCUUACAAAUGAGAACAAAGAAGAUGAAAAUUCUCCAAAACAGGGCUGCUGGUGCGGGAUCGAUGUCUCCCAAUCUAGACCUCUGAUUGACGAUCCGAACGGUCAGAAUGAAGAACCAUAUAUAUGAAAGCUACUGUCCAAAAAUCAGCUCGAUCCAACGGUGAACGACUUCACCGCGACGAAAACACCAGUGCAAGUUUAGGGUUAUACGGGGAUGACUUUCUCUCUUUCUUUUUCUCUCACUUGGAUUUUGUCUCUCUUCAAAUGACUCUCUUGUGCUCUACUAAUCUGACCCAUCUCAUUUUAACCUAAUGAGACAUAAUGGACCAGAAUAUUUGGGCUUAUUCUCCACAUAGGAAGGGAGCCUAAUAACCCAACAAAUCUCCCCCUCACGACUAUGUGGAGAUAUCCGCCAAACCGGCGAUCUCACAACAAACCUCAAACUUUCCUCUUGGCAAUGCCUUGGUCAUCAUAUCAGCACCAUUAUCAUCUGUAUGAACUUUAGCUAGUUCCACCAACUUAGCAUCCAAAACAUCAUGUAUCCAAUGAUACCUCACAUCAAUAUGUUUGGAUUUAGAAUGAAAAGUUGGAUUCUUACCAAGAUGAAUAACACUUUGAAUGUCACAAUACAACAAGUAUUUAUCUUGCACAAAACCAAGCUCCUGCAAGAAUUUCUUCACCCAUAACAACUCCUUGCAUGCUUCAAUAAGUGCAAUGAAUUCUGCCUCAGUGGUAGACAACGCCACACACUUUUGCAACUUUGAUUGCCAAGCCAAGGCUCCCCCUGCAAACUGAAUCAAAUAGCCUGAAGUGGACUUUCUGGAAUAAAUGUCUCCAGCCAUAUCUGAAUUUGAGUAACGCACCAAAGUAGGCUUAUCACCUCCAAAACAAAGCCUCAAAGCACUAGUACCACGAAGAUACCUCAAAAUCCAUUUCACUGCAUUCCAAUGCUCUCUACCUGGAUUUGACAGAAAUCUGCUAACUGUGUGCAAUGACAGGCCUUGUACAUACCAUUGCAUACAUCAAACUACCCACCGCAGAAGCAUAAGGAACUUUGCUCAUAGCUAUCUUCUCAACUUCAUUUAAAGGACUAUGUUUAACACUUAAUUUAAAAUGAGUAGCAAGAAGAGUACUUACAACCUUAACAUUCUCCAUUUGGAAUCUUUGCAUCACCUUCUGAAUGUAGUGCUCCUGUGAUAGCCAAAGUUUCUUCUCUUUUCUAUCACGAGUGAUACUUAUACCAAGAAACUUCUUAGCAGCUCCCAUGUCUUUCAUAGCAAAUGACUCGCCCAGUUGCUUCUUCAACCUGUCAAUUUUGGAAACAUCUUUUCCAACAAUAAGCAUGUCAUCAACAUAUAGCAACAAUAUAAUGAAAUCAUUCUCAGAAAAUUUCCUGACAAAAACACAAUGGUCAGAAGUAGUCUUCUUGUAGCCUUGCUCACACAUAACAGACUCAAACUUCUUAUACCACUGCCUCGGAGCCUGCUUUAAACCAUAUAGGCUUUUUUGUAGCCUACACACAUAGUCUUCCUUGCCUUCAAUAAGGAAAUCAUCUGGUUGCUUCAUGUAAAUCUCUUCCUCCAAAUCACCAUGAAGGAAAGUUGUCUUCACAUCCAUCUGCUCAACCUCCAAAUCAAGAGUAGCAGCUAAACUUAACACAGUUCUGAUGGAUGUCAUCCUCACCACAGGUGAGAAAAUCUCAUUGAAGUCAACACCCUUUCUUUGUCUAAAGCCUUUCACCACUAAUCUGGCUUUAUAUCUGGUAGAAGUAGAAUUGCUCUCUUGCUUCACCCUGAAGAUCCACCUGUUCUCUAAGGCUUUCUUACCCUUAGGCAACUUCACCAAGUCAUAAGUGUGAUUAUCAUGCAGAGAUUUCAUCUCAUCCUACAUUGCAUCCAACGACUUUUGCUUUUCUUCACUUUCAACGGCCUCCUCAUAACAUUCAGGUUCUCCCUCAUCAGUCAACAUCACAUACUCAUCGGUAGAGCACUUCUUAGAAGGUUGUUUUGACCUGUCAGAUCUUCUGGGUUGAGCUUCAGGAAGCUCAAGUACAUCACCAAGACUAUCAUCAUGUUCCUCUUCAUCAACAUUAUCAAUAGGAACAUUCAAGCUAUCUCCAACCUGCUCAUUAUCAAUAUCACCAUGUUGUUCAUCAUCAUGAACAUCAAUAUCCAAAUCAUUAAUAGACAACCGAAUUGGAUCAACAUCAGUCACAUUACCGUCUUCCUUAGGAGUAGACUUCUCCACCUUAUUAAUAUCUUUAAUGAUUUGAUCUUCCAUGAAUUUCACAUCACGACUUCUAACAACUUUCUUUUCAACGAGGUCAUACAACUUGUAGCCAAAUUCAUCCUAACCAAAACCAAUGAAGAUGCAUUGCCUUGUCUUCACAUCCAACUUGGAUCUUUCAUCCUUCGGAACAUGAACAAAUGCUUUACAACCGAAGACACGCAAGUGAUCAUAAGUGACAUUCUUGCCAAACCAAAUCUUGACUGGCACCUCAGAGUUCAAAGCAACUGCAGGACUUAAAUUAAUAACAUGCACUGCUGUAAACAAUGCCUCACCCCAGAAAUGCUUAGGCAAUUUUGCUUCAGAAAGCAUACACCUAACUCUUUCAAUCAAUGUCCUGUUCAUACUCUCCGCUAAACCAUUUAGUUGAGGAGUUUUGGGAGGAGUCUUCUCAUGUGCAAUACCAUACUGUCUACAAUAAGCAUCAAAUGUGUUACCAAUAAGGAGCAUUGGUAAAUCCUGAAGAAUUGUUUUGAUGAUUAUGCAAGAAGUGGUAUUUGAAGAGAACAUUAGAAUUAUUUAAAAAGCAACUUGUAGAAUUUGGAUGUAGUAGGAAAAUAUUAAACCUUGUAAUUUUUCCUGGAAUAAUCGAUUAUGGACAAGCUAUAGUCGAUUAUCACUUGCAUUUUGUACUAGAAUAAUCGAUUAUCAUGAAGCAAUAAUCGAUUAUCACAAGUCAUACUUGAAUAAUCGAUUAUCACUUCAUAUAAUCGAUUAUCAAUUUUUGAAAAACAUGUAACGGACUUGAAUAACCGAUUAUCACUUACAAUAAUCGAUUAUUCGUGGCAGUUGGAGCUGACCUUUGGCAUUCAGAGUAAUUGGCUAUAUAAUUGGCUUUUGUAAACUUCAGAAGCAACGUUUUUGAACUGAGAAGCUUAAUAGAACACUGUUUGUCAAAGGAAAUUUCUUAGAAGGUUUGUUCAAAGUUCCCUUGCUUGGUCUCGUGAAAGGAGAGGCUCGCGUAUCGUGUGUCGAUAGCCGGAGCAGACUCUCUUCGAGUUAGCAAGGUGCUCUGCCUGGUCUCGUGAAAGGAGAAGCUCGCGAAUCGUUGGUCGAUUGCCGGAGCGAUUCUCUUUGAGUUGUCAGAGUGGUCUUCUUCCGGUUCGCUCGUCGAAGGAAGGUUCUUUUAUGUUUUGUUCACUUAUUGUAAAUCUGUGAGAUUGUUUUUCGUGGAACUGUUAAUCACUUUUUACAGUGAUUAAUGACUGGACGUAGAUUCUGUUGAAUCGAACCAAUAUAAAAAUACUUGUGUGAUUUUUCUAUUCCCUACACUUAUUUCAUUUUACGCAUAUUAAGUGUUUGAUAAAUUUUCUUAAAGAAAAUUGAUUUGUGAAAAAGGACCAACUUGUUUGUUAAAAGUGACCGAACACGCUUAUACGCUACUCUAAGUUUUAAUUCCGCUGUGUUAUACUCUUCGAACCAUACCCCUACAAUACCAAAAAAAUGGUCCACAAUACUCACCACCAUUGUCAAUACGAAUGCGCUUCAGCUUCUUGCCUGACUGCCUCUCAACCAAGGCAUGGAAUUCUUUAAACUUGUCCAACACUUGGUCCUUUCUCUGUAGUGCAUAAACCCAAAGCUUCCUGGAACAAUCAUCAAUAAAAGUAACAAAGUAAAGUGCACCACUAAAAGACUUUACCUUUAACGGGCCACAAACAUCAGAAUGCACCAAUUCAAGCAACUCUGACUUCUUGGAGGGAGGAUGCUUCUUGAAGGAUACUCUGGUUUAUUUACCAGCCAUGCAGUGAGAACAUUUCUCCAACUCUACAUUCUUCAAUCCUGAGAGAACAUCCUUUUUAGCUAAGCAGUUAAGCCCCUUUUCACUGAUGUGCCCAAGCCUUCUGUGCCACAAAGAUGACUCUAUAUACACGGCAUUCACAUUGUCUUUAGCAACCAAAGCUUUUUUUUCUAAUAAAGCUUAGAGUUGUUCUCCCCUUUAGCCACAAUCAAGUUACCUUUGGUGAGUUUCCACUUUCACCCAGAACCAAAGUGGCUAUCAAAUCCACCAUCAUCAAGUACCUGCACAGAAAUCAAGUUAAAGCGAACAUCUGGAGCAUGUUUAACUCCUCUAAGCAACAACUGCAUCCCCAUGUUGGUUUGCAAGUGAAUAUCACCAACACCAAUAACCUUAGACACCCCAUCAUUACCCAUCUUCAAUACUCCAAAAUCACCAGGUGUAUAAGAUGUGAAGAACUCCUUCCUGGAUGUAACAUGCAGUGUAGCACCACUAUCAAUUAUCCACAUGCUCUCAUCAGAAACAAGAUUAAUAGUGUCAUAAUCACGAAGGCAAACAAGGUCACCAUAUGUAGUAGUAGUAACACGAUCACCAUCAUCAUUAUUUAUUUCUCUUUGCUUACCCUUUUUGUCUUUGUUCUCUUUCUUCCACAAAAAAACAGUUCUUCUUUAUAUGCCCUAUUUUGUGACAAUAGUGACACUCCACAUUCUUGUACCGAGACUUGGACUUGCUCCUGCUUUUAUCUCUACCACUGUUUUGUUCUUUCUUCUGGCUUCUCCACCUAUUAUUUGUAAUAAGCACUUCUGAAUGAGAUGAAGUACCCUGUGUCUUCCUUCUCAUCUCCUCAUUAAGAGCACCACCCUUUGCCAUUUGCAAAGAAAUAUCACCAUUAGGGGUAGCACUUAUCAUGGAAACCUGAAAUGUCUCCCAUGAAUCCGAUAAAGAUUUUAACAGGAACAAACCCAAUAGAUCAUCAUCAAAUUUUAUACCCACUCCUGCUAAUUGAUCAUAGCGUCCUUCAAAUUCACUCAAGUGAUUUGAAACAGGAGUUCCUUCCUUGUACUUCAACUCCACAAAAUUUUUCAGCAAGUAUAAUUUAUUAGUCCCUGACUUAGAGGCAUACAAGGACUCAAGCUUAUCCCAUAGGCUUCUCGCAUGCGUCUCAUUAGCAACAAAAUUAUAGACAUUGUCAUCAACAAACUGUCUAAUAAAUCCACAUACCUGUUGAUGUUCAAAAUCCCAUUCUUCAUCUGACUUGGAUUCUGGCUUAUUGGAAGCAAAAACAGGAAGAUGCAAAUUUUUCACAAAUAGCAAGUCCUUCAUCUUGACUUACCAUAAGUGAUAAUUUUCUCCAUUCAACGGAAUCAAUUUUGUAUGUGCCUCCAUCAUUCACGCAAAUUAAAAAGUCCCUUAACCAAAGAGCUUUGAUGCCACUCUGAUGGGGGAAAGGGCCAAAACAAAUAACAACUUAUCAAGGAGUAAUAAUGCAGCGGAAAUUCAAUCCCCCUUCUUGCGAGAAUCUGCGAGGAGCACCAAACAAAUAGAACAAAAAAUAGAAUCCAAAGCACAAAGAGACACCAAUAAUUUUUAACGUGGAAAACCCCUCAAUGCAAGGGUAAAAACCACGAGUCGUCCAGACCAAAGAAAAAUCCACUAUGAUCAAUAAUAGGGUACAAAAGAGUCUCCAUUAAUAAUACCAAAAGGUAUUUUCAAUAAGCCAAGUUAACUAAGCACAAAUGCUUACAAAUGAGAACAAAGAAGAUGAAAAUUCUCCAAAACAAGGCUUCUAGUGCAGGAUCAAUUUCUCCCAAUCUAGACUUCCGAUUGACGAUCCGAACGGUCAGAAUGAAGAACCAUAUGCCUGGAACCUACUGUCCAAAUAUCAGCUCGAUCCAACGGUGAACGACUUCACAGUGACGAAAACACCAGUGCAGGUUUAGAGUUAUGCGAGAAUGACUUUCUCUCUUUCUUUUUCUCUCACUUGGCUUUUGUCUCUCUUCAAAUGACUCUCUUGUGCUCUACUAAUCUGACCCAUCUCAUUUUAACCAAAUGAGACAUAAUGGACCACAAUAUUUGGGCCUAUUCUCCACAUAGGAAGGGAGCCCAAUAACCCAACAAUUCGUGGCCCAGGAGUUCUUGGAGAAUCUCCCAAUAGACAAGAUUGGUCGUCUGUGGCCCAGGAGUUCCUGGAGAACUUCCCAGUAGACGAAAUUGACCGUUCGUGACCCAGGAGUUCCUGGAGAACAUCCUAGUAGACGAGAGUGGUCGCCGUGGCCCAGGAGUUCCUGGAGAACAUCCCAGUAAACGAGAAUGGUCGUCCGUGGCCCAGGAGUUCCUGGAGAACUUCCCAAUAGACUAAAAUGAUCGUCCGUGGCCCAGGAGUUGCUGGAGAACUUCCCAAUAGAUGAAAUUGAUCGUCCGUGGCCCAGGAGUUCCUGGAGAACCUCCUAAUAGACGUGAAUGGUCGUCCGUGACCCAAGAGUUCCUGGAGAAGAUCCCAGUAGACGAGAAUGGUCGUCCGUGACCCAGGAGUUCCUGGAAAACAUCCCAGUAGACGAGAAUGGUCGUCCGUGGUCCAGGAGUUCCUGGAGAACUUCCUAGUAGACGAAAAUGAUCGUUCGUGGCCCAGGAGUUGCUGGAGAACCUCCCAGUAGACGUGAAUGGUCGUCCGUGGCCCAGGAGUUCCUGGAGAACUUCCCAGUAGACGAAAAUGAUUAUCCGUGACCCAUUGACGCUGUUGUGGUUUUAGCAAUGGUUGUCGGAGUGGGUAUUGUCGACGAUGCGGUGGUUGGCCCGAAUGGUGCGACUGUCGUUGCGAAUGUUGGACUGCGCGACUGACUGUAGCAUUUGUGUAAUGAUGAGGCCUGGUUUGGUCUGGUGCGGUGGAGAUGGCGUCGUCGUCGGUGGCCACGUAAGCUGAAGACGCAAGUUUUGCUGCUAGUGUAAGUGGCAUUCGCCCAUGUCGAGGAGGCAGUGGAUGAUGAUUUCGACAAUGUGGUAAGAGUAGCAGUCGCAGAAGACGGCGAGCCAGUUGCCGCAGCAAUCGGUGCUAGUUUGGGCUCGGAUUUGGUUUGGAUAUAAGAGAUAAAGUUGGUGCUGGGUAAGGCCAGAUUUGAAACGGUGUCGGAGGUUUCAUCGCUGCCGGAAGAUUCGGCAGGUGGACUGGACGGUGAGAAGAAUGUUGCGGAUGCCGGACCGAACAGAGCGGAGAAUGCCGCAACGUGACUAUGCUGGCUGCUGCGUUUGGCGGAGACCAGACGACGGAGAUUCCUUCUCUUUACCGAAGGGUUUAGGAUGGGGUUAAACCCUUCUUUGCAAACUUACAAUUAUUUUCUUCCACAUCUUGCGAGGAGAUCUCAAGCCAACUGGGAGACUUUGUAAGGCAGCGGAGAAGAGGAUACAUUCUCCCUACGGCGGUGCAUAUGACCCAGGGCUGGUAAUGAUUUGGAAUUCUAUUUUUUGCAAAUUGUUUUGCAAAUUGUGAAUCCUAGAGUUCAACAGAAAGCACCAAGAAGACCAGAGAGCAAAUAUAACAUUUAAAAUACAAUAGUGGAUGAUAAUCAAUGCUACAUGAGCCUUACGCAAUGUUUGAAUGAAAAAAUAUGAUUCCUAUUGCAUGAUUAUGAAAUCCCGGGAGGUUGGGAUUAUAUAUUAUAUUAUUAACUAUAUUAUAACAAUAUUCGUCAUAUAUAUGUUAUUAUAUUAUUACUUAUCUAUAUCUUUCAUAUGAAACGAAUGUGCCAGCAUAUAUAUAUAUAUAUAUAUAUAUAUAUAUAUAUAUAUAUAUAUAUAUAUNNNNNNNNNNNNNNNNNNNNNNNNNNNNNNNNNNNNNNNNNNNNNNNNNNNNNNNNNNNNNNNNNNNNNNNNNNNNNNNNNNNNNNNNNNNNNNNNNNNNNNNNNNNNNNNNNNNNNNNNNNNNNNNNNNNNNNNNNNNNNNNNNNNNNNNNNNNNNNNNNNNNNNNNNNNNNNNNNNNNNNNNNNNNNNNNNNNNNNNNNNNNNNNNNNNNNNNNNNNNNNNNNNNNNNNNNNNNNNNNNNNNNNNNNNNNNNNNNNNNNNNNNNNNNNNNNNNNNNNNNNNNNNNNNNNNNNNNNNNNNNNNNNNNNNNNNNNNNNNNNNNNNNNNNNNNNNNNNNNNNNNNNNNNNNNNNNNNNNNNNNNNNNNNNNNNNNNNNNNNNNNNNNNNNNNNNNNNNNNNNNNNNNNNNNNNNNNNNNNNNNNNNNNNNNNNNNNNNNNNNNNNNNNNNNNNNNNNNNNNNNNNNNNNNNNNNNNNNNNNNNNNNNNNNNNNNNNNNNNNNNNNNNNNNNNNNNNNNNNNNNNNNNNNNNNNNNNNNNNNNNNNNNNNNNNNNNNNNNNNNNNNNNNNNNNNNNNNNNNNNNNNNNNNNNNNNNNNNNNNNNNNNNNNNNNNNNNNNNNNNNNNNNNNNNNNNNNNNNNNNNNNNNNNNNNNNNNNNNNNNNNNNNNNNNNNNNNNNNNNNNNNNNNNNNNNNNNNNNNNNNNNNNNNNNNNNNNNNNNNNNNNNNNNNNNNNNNNNNNNNNNNNNNNNNNNNNNNNNNNNNNNNNNNNNNNNNNNNNNNNNNNNNNNNNNNNNNNNNNNNNNNNNNNNNNNNNNNNNNNNNNNNNNNNNNNNNNNNNNNNNNNNNNNNNNNNNNNNNNNNNNNNNNNNNNNNNNNNNNNNNNNNNNNNNNNNNNNNNNNNNNNNNNNNNNNNNNNNNNNNNNNNNNNNNNNNNNNNNNNNNNNNNNNNNNNNNNNNNNNNNNNNNNNNNNNNNNNNNNNNNNNNNNNNNNNNNNNNNNNNNNNNNNNNNNNNNNNNNNNNNNNNNNNNNNNNNNNNNNNNNNNNNNNNNNNNNNNNNNNNNNNNNNNNNNNNNNNNNNNNNNNNNNNNNNNNNNNNNNNNNNNNNNNNNNNNNNNNNNNUAUAUAUAUAUAUAUAUAUAUAUAUAUAUAUAUAUAUAUAUAUAUAUAUAUAUAUAUAUAUAUAUAUAUACCGUUAUAAUAUAAAUAAUUUUUAGUUGUUAUAAUGUGGAGAUAUUAUUCUUCUUUUAUAUUUACUCCUACUCCUCACAUUGAAGUGACAUAUGUUGUUGCCUUAAUUUUGCAGUGCAUGAAUAUAUACAUAUAUUUCUAGCAUUUAUAUAGAAAAUUUGUCGUAAUAUAUAAUUUUCGUAUUUCAGAUAAUACUUAUCUUGUUGAUGAAACUUCCUGCAAAGAUGACGAUUUUUGUUGUAUAGUCUUUGUUUUGCUGAAAAUUCCUAGUGUUGAUCUGGAGUAGAUGUUGAUACCAAGCGCUUGUCUUGGUUUCUCGUGGUUUUCAAUGAGAUGUCUCCGGCCCCACGGUGGGGGCCAAAAUGUUUCGGUAAAUAUUUUGUGGGAUCGAGACACUAACAUUUUCUGACGUGGUUUUACUGUUUUUCGAUGCUUGAACUGGGUUCUCUGAUUAUCUUCUUUCUGCUUGGACCGCUCGAUUACCUGCAAUCCUGGCCAUUCGGUGAUCUUCAAGCUCUGAUCGCUCGUCCGCCUUUCCGAUGGAGAGGGGGAGGUACCUGCAAAAGGCACUCCAACGCCCAAGUCAGGCGUGUAUUGAAGAACCUCGACUCUUGAUUGAAUAUUUAGUGAAGGGUUUUCACUAUUUGAGUAUUUGAGAAUAUGAGUUGAAUGUGAUUGGAAGGUGAUUCGAAGGUACCUAGCUUGUGACCCUUUCUCUCUAUUUAUAAUUUGUCUCAUGGUCCUUAAACUGAUAAAAGCCCAACAGAAUAAAAUAUAAACAAAAUAUAAUAUAAACAGACUUACUUGAAAAUCUUGUUAGUUGCUAAAUAUCUUUAAUAAGAUAUAUCGUAACCACUCGGCCUUGAUAUUAAUAUAUAUAUAUAUAUAUAUAUAUAUAUAAAGUGGAAUAUAUCAAAAGAAUUUGGUAGUUUCUCCAAUCAAGAUUGCCCUAUUUUUGUUGGUGAUGGAAGACGCAUCAUUAUCGUUGCCACAGUUAAAAAUGCACGUGAUGAUUAAGGUACCUUGGAAACUACCAUUGUAGGUGAGUUUAUCAAUGUCUGCAUACAAGCUACAACUUAUCUCUUUUUUUAAUUUAUUUAUCUAUGACUUUAAAUGGUUAAACAUGAUUGUAGAAGGAAAAUAAACUAUUUUUAAAUUAAUUUUGGUGGUACAAUUCUUGAAAGUACAAAUUUCUUGACGAGUAACAUAACUUUCAAUAAUACAACAAGACCUUCAAAAAAACAAGUUAUCGCCCUAAUAGUAACAGGGAAUCGAUCAACAUUUUACAACUGUGAGAUGCUUGGAUAUCAAUACACUAUGUAUGCUUUGCAGGAUAAUAAUUUUUAUGUCCAGUGUCUUAUUAAAGGCACAAUAGAUUUUAUGUUUGGCGAAUUGGGACAAGUGUUGUUAUAAGACUAUGACAUCCAAGAGAAAAUUUCUCUCCAAGAAUAAGAGAACAUUAUUACCAUGCAAGGAAGAAAUGUUAUGAACGACCCACGUGAAGUUUUAUUGCAAAAGUGUAGGAUUGGUGCAAGUCCCCGAGUUUGAAGUCGUGAAACAGAAUUUCCAAACAUAUCUAGGGAGGCCCUUGAAGAAUUAUUCCAGGACUAUUAUCAUGGAAGUUUUUAUGACCGAUAUAAUUAACCCAAUUGUUGGUUUGAGUGAGAGGGCACUAGUUCCGGUCUUAAAACAUUAUUUUAUAGCCAGUAUAAAAACAUUGAACAUGGUGCUCAAACCUCCAAAAGAGUCAAAUGGAAGGGAUUCAAGGUCCAUGUUGUUGAAGUCGAGCCUUUUACUCCGAAAAACUUCAUUGGUGACUCUCAUUGGCUCAAUUCUACUGGAUUUCUUUAUAAACUAGACUUGUAAAUUCUUUGUUGAUGUAUAUAAAUGAUUACUUAAUAAAAUAAAUCAAUUACAAAUCUUUUGUCCACCUUAAUAAGAUGUUAGUGUUUGAAUGUGCAAGUGUUGAGUUCUAGUAUUUGUUAUUUAUUAUUUGUACCAUGUGAGUACCGGUCAACACAAAACAUGAAUGAUCAAUUCUAUCUCGGUAAAGAGACUGCCAAGCUUGGACAAGCUUAAAAAGGAACUAACCCAAAAGGUCAAUUCAUAGCUCGGAGUGCAAGCCAAGUGGCAUCUGGUCUUCUCACCAUCAAAGUACCCAACACAACUCUACAUUGUAGAAUAUGAAAGAAAUAACAUUACUACAAAGUAACAUUAUUAAGGAAUUCAAGACAUAUUUUUGCUCUAAGUAGAAAUUAUGAAGAAAAAGUACAACCUCUCCUCCCUAUUACAUUCCUUUAUAUAUAAAAAAAGUUCGUUACAGCCAUUUUUCCCAUAAUUCCCCACGAAAUCUGAAAAGCUGCACAAAAUCUGAAUUUUCAAAAACUCUUAAAAGUUGCUCCAAAAAGAUGUAUUGUCGCUACUUUUGUUGUGUGAGUCUAUGCUACUGCAAAAUUUAUUUUGUCUAUUAAGGUGGUAGUGCACAGUUUAAUUAACGCAGCUCUUGGGUUCAACCUUCUUCUCUUUCCAAGCUCUUAUAUGGCCCAACUCUUACUUGCCCGAGCUCUAAAUUAACAGCUCAUUAACUUCGAUAACUUGACACAUUACCUCUCCAACAUCUCAACCCGACAUCAACAGCCUGACAAACUCUCAACUCGGCAUCAACAUUCCAUCAACUUAAACGUAGCUUGGCACUCCAACCUAAUGUUUCUUCAGAUGCAUAACUUUUGCCUCUUGGUUGUUGCCACGGUAAAAAAAGUUGUUUUGUCUCCUUUUAGUGUGAGAGUGUGCUCAGGUCUUAAGGCCAAAGAAUAUAAUCAAAGAAGUUUAAUUAUUAAAAGGACUUCCCCUAAUGAUACUUACAAAACAAGAUACCUACUCAUCGACUACGUGAGCCACCCACUCAUAACUAGGUAGACACGGAAGUGGUCGAGUGAACUCGUCUCUCUCAUCAAUCGUGUCAAAUUAGAAUAAAGUAUUGGUGCCUUCAUGUAAAAAUAAAGAAUUCUAACUACCAUAGUUACAAUCCAAUCCAACUUUUAAUGGAAGUUUGGUUAACUAAUGAAACUUCUUUUUCCAAAAAUGUGUUUCUAUCAUGAAGUUUUGCAUAAUUUCUUAACAUUACUAAAAAAAGUCUAAUUAAUUUUAGAAUUAUGUUUCAGUUAUUCAAAAUAUACAUUAACUUUUGUUGAAUUCCUAGGCUAAUUUUUCACAUACUGAUUGUUAGAUCAUUUUGUACUUCUUAUUUAUAUGUGUUUGCUUUUAUGUAAAUCUACAAAGUAACAUCUACUAAGCCUAACAUGAAGAACUCAUUCAUAAUCUUGGUCACAUUCCUCAUCAUUAUCCAUGCGUUUAAACCACCAAAGUGACAACAAGGGUUGUUGUAGGACGGAGAAACCUCGUUGAGCCUUACCUAUGAUAUAUUCAGAUAAAAGUAGAAUUAUCACUACAAUCUCUGAAGCAAUAUUAGUUGCUCAUGUGUGUGUUUGUUCUAUUUCAAAUUUUGUUUUGUUUCAAGGAAGCUCUCAGGCUCAACCUUCUUCUCUUCCCGAGCUCAUAUCUAGCUAAGCUCUUACCUGUAGAUGCUACAUCAACAACUCAAUAACUUCGACAACUCGGCAUCAACAACCUAACAACAUCUCAACUUGGCAUCAAUACCCCAGCAACUUAAACAUAGUAUGACAAUUCAACCUAAUGUUUCUUAAGAUGCACAACUUUUGCCUUUUGGUUAUUGUCACGGGCUAAAAAGUUAUUUUGUUUCUUUUUUGUGCAAGAGUGUGCACAGGUCUCAAGGCCAAAGAAAAUAAUCAAAGAAGUUUUAUUAUUAACAAACAUUCCCUCAAUGGUACUUACAAAACAAAAUAUUCUCUCAUCGACUACCCGAGCCACCCACUCAUAACCAGAUAUGCAUGGAAGUGGUCAAGUGGACUCCUCUCUCUAUUCGAUAGUGUCAAAUUAGAAUAAAGUAAUGAUACCUUCUUUAGAUUGUAUGAUUUGAAAAUAUUUUUUCUAUGAGAAAUUAUUUAAAUUUAAAAAUUAAUUAUUGAAAGAGUAAAAAAAAAAAAUUAUGCAUGUCAAAAGAGUGAAUUUUCUUUAUUAAUAUUAGGGAAAAAAUAUAUGUAUGUUUAAUUUUUUUACGAUGAUAAACAUUAAUAAAGUUAUUAUUAUUAUUAUUAUUAUUAUUUUCAUUAUAAUUAUAAAAUUAAAUUAAAUAUAUUUUAUAAGUUCAUUGUAAAAAUAUUUUAUUUACAAGUUUUACAAUUAAAAAAAUGGUUAAGUUUUAAAAAAUAGUUGAAUAAAAAAAUGGUUAAAUUUAAUAAAAUUAUCAUUUAAAGAUAAAAUUGUUAUAAUAAUUAUUAUUCUUAUUUUAUCCUUUAUAAUAUAAUUGCUAAUUUAUUUUCUUAAACUGACUAUAAUUUUCACAUUUUUUUUGUAAUCGUUACAUGUUCCAAUAUUUUCUUUUUUUCUCUAUAGAUUUCAUUAAUUUUUGUUUUUUUACCAUUUUUUCUUUCACAUUGAAUAUAUAUAUAUAUAUAUAUAUAUAUAUAUAUAUAUAUAUAUAUAUAUAUAUAUAUAUAUAUAUAUAUAUAUAUAAAAGUCGUGCACACAGGGGACGAAUUUGGAUUUCAAAAUAUGGCAUAUAGAAGUCCAAAGUCGUAUUUAUAGAAGAAAACAUUCAAUUUUUAUUUUUUUUAUAAAUAAGAAAUUGCGUAGAUAGAGAACUUCAGUCUAAAACUAAAACAUAAAACUUGACUCAAAAACAACGAAAAGUUUUAAUUUUUUUUUUUCUUAUAAUUUGAAGUCAUGGAUGAUGUUCACGAAUUUAGUUCAAAUGCACUACACUCAAAGGAUAGGUCUCGUCACACUUGGUGUUCUCGACACAAAGGAAUGAGCAAAAUCGCUCAUUUGUCAUUCCCUUAGGCCGGGAAUCAGCUACCCAUUGUACACAACUACCAAUAUUUAUGGGAGAAUAAUAUAUAUAUAUAUAUAUAUAUAUAUAUAUAUAUAUAUAUAUAUAUAUUAUUCUCAUUUACUAACUUUUUAAAAGGAAAAUAAUAUGUCAAGACUUUUUACCCAUUUAACAAUCAUUUUCCAUCUAUUUUUAUAAUUAUUUUAAAAGUUGUUGGCGCAAAAAUGGUUAGAUGAAAAACUAGAUAAUGGAAUGAUGUAUAUUUCAUUCAUGUUUUCGAGUUUGAGAUUGGGAAACUUAGGUCAAUAGUCGAACUUUCGUUUUUGACUGAGAGUUCUUUUUUCUUAAGCACGAGUUAUUUCUUUAUUAUUUUUUUGAUUUGUGCUUAGCUAUGAAACCAAUCAUUUUGUCAUUUGUCCAUUGUUUUGUAGAGUUUGCAUUUUCAUUUGCCCCAUUGAAAUGCAAGUUUGUUCUGGUUGACAAGUUUCUUAGAGGUGAGUUGUUCUUUUCCAAGUUCAAGUUCUUCCUUUCUUUUCUAUUCCAAGUUUAGAGAGAAAAAUAUUAAUCCGAACCUAGUAUUGUAGCUUAGAGGCCCAAUACGCGUUGGCCCAUUAUCUUGAAUGAAAGACAGAUACGUUCUGUCUGCGUGGCAUUUGCUGAGAAUGAAAGCAGAGUUAGAGAGAGAGGCUUCCAGACGCUCCGUCUGGAUGAAGAGAGAGAAGGAAGACGGUGGCCGGCAGAGCUCCGGCACGGCGGCGGUUGCCGUCGACGUAGAAGAGAGAAAUGAAGAUCGUGACAAGGUGAGUAUGAAAAACUUCUUCUUUUCUUAUUUGAAUGAACAUACGAAAUUACAAAGUAAUAUUGUUUCUGAUAAUCGAAAAAGGGGGGAGGAACUCUAUAUAAAUAGAGUUCCAGGUGAAGAAGGAAAAAUCGAAAACCUAACAACUAACCACUGUUCAACAAACAGUGAAGGACUGUCUUAACAAGACAGUUAAGAGAAUCGAAGGAUUCUCAAUACCCUUCCCUCAAGCUAGACUGUAUAUAUUGACCAGUCCAAGCUUGGGUAUGAUGUGUUUGAAGCUGACGCGAUGCGGAAACUUGGUGAAGACAUCAGCCAGUUGCUCAUCGGAUCGGACAGGGAGGAGAUGAAGAAGGCCUUCCUGGAUCUUUUCACGAACAACGUGACAGUCAAGCUCAAUGUGCUUGGUCUGUUCGUGGAAGCUCUGGUUAUGGGCAAUAUGACAAGCAGAUUUGUUAUCGCAAUAUAGGGUUGGAACUCCAGAUUCUUCAAUAUGAAGAUCUGCAAGUAAGUAGUGGAGCCACUGUAUUUCACAUACAGUGGCAGCAAGGGCUCUGUACUCAGCCUCCGUAGACGAUCUGGAAACAAUCUUUUGUUUCUUAGAUUUCCAGGAAAUAAGAGAUGUCCCUAGAAAUAUACAGAAACCCGUAGUAGAUCUCCUGGUGUUAGGGCAGGUAGACCAAUCAGAGUCACUAAAACCUUUUAGAUGCAUAGGUGAGUCAGCAGCGAAAAACAAUCCUUCACUGGUAGUAUAUUUGAUAUAUCUGAGAACAUGUUGAGCAGCCCGAAAAUGAUGUUCUGUAGGAAAUUGCAUAAAUUGACUAAGUAAAUUGAUGGUAUAGCAUAAAUCUGGUCUAGUAUUUGUAAGAUAAAGUAACUUCCCUAUCAGCCUUCUGUAGGGUCCAGGAUCAGUAAGUUGUUUAUCCAAUUUGUAUAAUGGGCUUGUGUCUCUAAGGAAGGGUGUAGUAGAAGGUUUGCAUCCCUCCAUUCCUGUUUCCUCAAGUAUGUCUAAUGCAUACUUUCUUUGACAUAAGUGAAUACCCUUCUUAGAUCUAGCAACUUCAAGUCCGAGGAAGUACUUGAGCUCUCCAAGAUUCUUUAUACGAAAUCUAUUAUGUAGGAGUUCUUUGACGCCAUUGAUUUCUUCCAAGGAAUUUCCUGCCAACACAAUAUCAUCCACAUAUACAAGCAAGGCAGUGAAAUAAGUACCAGUUCUCUUAGUGAAUAAUGAGUGAUCUGACUUAGAUUGUUUGUAGUUGACAGAAAUUAGGUAAGAGGAUAAUUUUUCAAACCAUUGUCUGCUUGCUUGUUUCAAGCCAUAUAGGGAUUUAUUUAAUUUGCAAACUUGUCCCUUUGUAUGAAUACCCAGUCCUGGAGGUGGAUGCAUAUAGACUUCUUCAUGAAGGUCACCAUGAAGAAAAGCAUUGUCAACAUCUAAUUGGUGUAAAAACCAAUUAUUUGAUGUAGCAAGGGCAAUUAAGAGUCUAACAGUGGUUAAUUUUGCAACUGGUGAGAAAGUGUCUAGAUAGUCUAUUCCUUCCUGCUGAGUAUACCCUUUUGCAACUAACCGUGCCUUGUGUCUUUCAAUACUUCCAUCAGCUCUAUACUUAGUUUUAUAUACCCACUUGCAUCCUAUAGGAGUCUUUCCUGGUGGUAGUUGUGUCAGGGACCAAGUAUUAUUGUCUUGCAGUGCCUUAAUUUCCUUCUGCAUUGCCUCUAUCCAUUCCCUUUUGUCUUUAGCUUCAUUGUAAGUCUGGGGUUCUUUAUUCCCAGUGAUAGUCAUGAUGUAUUUUGAAUGUUUCCCUAAUAAAUUGUCAUAGCAAAGUAUUUUAGAAAUCGGGUAAGGAGUUUUGAAGUUAUUUUUUACAGUUAAGGAAUGGUUCACCUGGUGGACAUAGUCUUCCAAAUAAGCAGGGGUCUUUCUAGUCCUUUCUGGUCUUCUGUGUCUGUAAUUUUCUUGAUUGUCAUUUGUGGUAGUAAAAUUGUCCAGUUCUUCAUCUUGGUUAAUAUCCUCAAGCUCAUCAUGUUGGUCUUCAUAAGUGGGAUAAUAGUCCUUUGAAAGGUCAGUGAAGAACUCAUCUGCAUCCUCUUUACUUUCUGGGCUUUGCUAAUUGUCCUGAAAAUUCUUAUAAGGUAAUAUUUCUUCAUGAAAUAUUACGUUUCUGCUUAUGAAUAGUUUCUUAGUGUUUAUAUCUAAAACAAUAUACCCUUUUAUACCACUUUUGUACCCUAGAAAAACUCCUUUUUCUAGCCCUAGGGUCUAACUUGGUUCUACUGUUUUCAAGUGUAGAAGCAAAACAUUAACACCCAAACACUUUGAGAUCUAAGUAGGUAGGAGGUAGAUUAUAAAGCAUAUCAUAAGGAGUCUUAUUUUCAAGACUAGGAGAAGGCAACCUAUUUAUCAAAUACACAGCGUACCCAAUAGCAUAAGACCAGUAAACUUUGGGUAUAUUAGAGUGAAAAAGAAGACUGCGUGUAACAUUGAGUAUAUGUUGGUGUUUUCUUUCGACUACAGAAUUUUGUUNUGGAGUCUCAACACAACUUCUUUGAUGUAUGAUACCAUGCAUAUUAUAGAAAUUAACACAAUUAAACUCUGGCCCAUUGUCGGAUCUAAUGAUUUUGAUCAUUUUAUUAAACUGAUUCUUGACUUUGAUAAUAAAAUUUUGUAAUAGAUCUUUGGUUUGUCCUUUAUUAUUCAUUAGGAAAACCCAUGUGUGUCUGCUGUAAUCAUCAACUAUACUAAGAAAGUAUUUAUGUCCAUGAAUAGAAACAGUAUUUAAUGGCCCCCAAAUAUCACAAUGGAUAACUUCAAAACAUUCAGUGGUAACAGAUAAGCUUUUCUUAAAAGGUAACUUGUGCUGUUUGGCAAAAUGGCAAGUAUCACAUACAAUAUCAGUUUUGAUCUUAACAUAAGGAAACAUUUCACAUAUGCGUUUUACAACAUGAUGUCCAGGAUGCCUUAGUCUAAGAUGCCACAGAUUAACAUCAGUCUUUUUAAAAGAGAAAACAGCCUUGUCAAUAUCUCUUUGUUCUGGUUUAGGGAAAUCUUGUAGAUAGUAGAGACCAUUCCAAGGUUUAGCAUAUCCAAUCGUCUUCAAUGAACGAUUCUCCCUUAUCUGGCAGUUCUCAUAGGAAAAUAUUAGAUUGCAAUUUAAGUCUUUGAUGAGACUCUGAACAGAAAUCAGAUUAAAACAGAAAUUAGGUAUGUAAAGAACAUUGAAAAGGAUAAAAUUCUCAGUAAAACGUAUAGUUCCAGCAUAUUCAGUAGUGAUGACAGUUUUAUUUGGCAGAGUAAUGGUAAUAGGUUUAAUUUUGUAGAAAAUAGUAAAGUUAGUUUUAUCAUGUGUGACAUGGUCUGUUGCACCCGUGUCAAUAACCCAGGAAGAAUUACCUGGUUUGUUUUCUGUUUCUUGCCUCUGAACUUGGUUAAUCUUGUGAAUGGAUGAUUCUUCUGUUUUUUCUAUCAUCUUUAAAAGUUUCUGCAUUUGUUCUGGUGUGAAGAGAUUGGGAUUACAGUUGUUGUUAAUCUGAUGUUGAGUCUUCAGGAUGCUCUCAGAGUCAUUGUUGUUUUGAUUGUUGUUUUGAAAGGCAUUGACACUGUUCCAGUCACUCUUUUUAUCUUCCUUCUUAUACCAUGGGGGAUACUCGUGCUUAGAAUAGCACUCAUCAACCGUGUGAUUCAUCUUAUUACAAUAAGAGCAUUGCUUUCCAUAAUUUGGGUUUCUUCCCCUUCCUCUACCUUGUCCACGAAUUCCAGUAGCACGUCCCUGAUUCCUCCAACUCUGGUCAGGUUUCCACUGAUUGUUUCUUUUAGCCAUGUUAACCAGAAUUCUGGAAUCUGUGUUACUCUGUUUUUCCUGUCUUUCUUGUUGGAUAAUAAAAGAGAAAACACGAUUAACAUUUGGUAAGGGAUCCAUUAAAAGAAUUUGCGUUUUAACAGUAUUGUAAGAAUCAUUCAAACCCUUCAAAAAGCAAAUCACAUGCUUCAUUUCUCUAUAUUUCAACGAAACCUUGGACAAGUCACAGUUGCAUGGUAUUUCACAAGUGCAGACUGGUAUUGGUCUUAAAGACUCCAAUUCUUCCCAUAAAAUCUUCAGGUCAGUGAAGAACUGGUUGACUCCACGUUCUCCUUGUUUAAUUGAGUGUAUGUCUUGUAAUAAAUCUGAGAUUUUGAAGUAAUCCCCUUUUGAAAACCUCUCUUUAAGCUCGUCCCAUAAUUCUUUCGCUUCUUCGACGUAGAUGACGCUUUCAGAAAUAUGAGGAGAUAGGGUCUUCGUCAUCCAUGACAGAAUCAUCACAUUACAUCUUUCCCAUGCAUCGUAGGUAUCAUCAUUUUUCUGAGGUCUGAUCAGAUUUUUCCAUGGUGGUAAAAGAAAGAUUUCAAGAACCCAGCCCAAGAGGGUCCAAGAAACAGCAGCGAUGGCAAUGGAAGCAGAGCAGGUACUAGACCUGCUCUGAUACCAUAUUAAUUCGAACCCAGUACUGUAGCUUAGAGGCCCAAUACGUGUUGGCCCAUUAUCUUGAAUGAAAGAUAGAUACGUUCUGUCUGCGUGGCAUUUGCUGAGAAUGAAAGCAGAGUUAAAGAGAGAGAGGCUUCCAGACGCUCCGUCUGGAUGAAGAGAGAGAAGGAAGACGGUGGCCGGCAGAGCUCCGGCACGGCGGCGGUUGCCGUCGACGUAGAAGAGAGAAAUGAAGAUCGUGACAAGGUGAGUAUGAAAAACUUCUUCUUUUCUUAUUUGAAUGAACAUACGAAAUUACAAAGUAAUAUUGUUUUUUAUAAUCGAAAAAGGGGAGAGGAACUCUAUUUAUAUAGAGUUCCAGGGGAAGAAGGAAAAACCGAAAACCUAACAACUAACCACUGUUCAACAAACAGUGAAGGACUGUCUUAACAAGACAGUUAAGAGAAUCGAAGGAUUCUCAAUAAAAAAUGUAAGUUAUUUUAUGUUUUUUUUUUUUUCUUUUCACCUACCUUUGUUAGUCUAAACUUGCAACGAACAAGGAUGGAUGAACUCUUGUUCGGAAAGAAACAAUUCGCAUCUAAGAAAUUUGUCAAUCACAACGAACAAAUUUGUCAAUCACAACGAACUUGUUUCUCAAUGGAGAUAAUAAAAGCACAAGCUCGACAUAACAAUGGAAAAACAAUACAAUAAUCAAUCUCAAAUGUCAUAAGCACAAAAAGAAAGAACUACUCACGUCCGAGAAGGAAAAACUCAAGAUCGAAAAUAGAAGCACAGUAACCGACCUAGGUUUUUCAAACUUAAACUUUCAAAAAUAUGAAUGAAAGAACUGUCACCCCAUUCCAUUUGUGUAAUUUUUCAUCCAACCAUUUUCACUUCUAAAAUAUUAUAAAAACAGGUAAAAAAAUGAGACAUCAACACUUUCAAAUAAAAAACUGGUUUUAACAUAUCCUUUUUUUCAUUUUUUAAAACCGCUUAUUCUAGUAAAAUUACAUCAUUUUUAUGAAAAUACCUCAAUUCUCAAAUCCUAAGUUAUAAGUUCUUGUUUUGCUUACGUGAUAUUGCAAACCUUUUUAGCGUAUUUGUGAAAGUGAAAACCUACAUUUACCACUGAAAUGGUAUGGUCUCUACGGCUUCUAACUUUAUCAGAAUGUUCAUAUUCUAUUCAAUCUCUUGUUUCACUUUCAAUUAAAAAAUUUCCAACACUAAUUUCUCGUUGGAAAUUACAUUUCACACAUUUUUAAAAAUGGUUAAAAACAACACCUCAGUUAUAUCAUAUCAUUUAUUUAUUUAUUUAUUUUAUUUGUACAUUAUUGUUUUUGUCGCUCCUUAUUUAUUUCAAUUUUAUAAUAAAAUUGAAUCACAGUUUAAAGUAUUUCUUAUAAAUCAAAAAUAUAAUUUAUUUAUUUACAGUAAAGCUUAAAUACUAGUUAAAACUAAAUGCCUGAUCAUUAUUACACUAAUGUAUAAUAAUUAAAUAUAGCAUUGAAGAAUGAUAAUAUCAAAUAUUAAUCCAAGUCCUUAUGUUUGUGCCACAAUUAAAUUGAAACGUUUGGAGAAGCAUUUUUAUUAAAACUUUCAAGAAAAUUAAAAUGAAUUAAUAUACAAUUUAUCAUACAAAUAAAAAGCGUAACUAUUUUAAAUUUCUACUUUAUAACCUUGCUUGCCCACAGAGCUUAACGGUCAAUUCUUCCUGCUCCUACAUCCACAAUUUCAUCCUACGCUUCCAUAAAUUUUUGGAUUUCAAGAGUACAUAUUUUUAUAUUUCAGAUUCUAUAUUCUAAAAUACAAUAUAUAUAUAUAUAUAUAUAUAUAUAUAUAUAUAUAUAUAUAUAUAUAUAUAUUUCAAAUUAUAUAAUACAGAAUUCAGAAUACAAAUAUAUUUCAGAAUAAUCUGCAAUACAAUUUCUAUAUUCCAAAUUAUACAAUUCAAAAUACAAAUUUUAUAUUUAAUAUUAUGGUUUUUGGAAUAUAAAAAAUCAUAUUUUAAAUUAUAUAUCCCAGAAUAAAAAAUAUAUAUACUCUAAAUUAUACAUUUCAAAGUACAAAAUUUACAUUUCCAAUUGCACAAUUCUAGAGUAGUAAAACAUUUGGAAGAAUUUACCAGAGUACAGAAAGAAAUUCAUGGAGGUGCAGGAAGAAUUACCACCUUGAAUUAAAUGUUCCACCAUUUAAAAGAUAAAUAAGAUACUAACAUUAUCAACACAAUGCUCUGUUUUAACAUCAAAUUCAUUAAUUUAUAGCCCAGUACAGCAAGUGGAAAAUCAAAUGGAUUUUGAAUGUACUUGUUCAGCUUUAUGUAGCAGGGGGCAGUCAAUAAUUGAAAGCACAUUUUUAACUUCUCAUGAUUAUACUCAGAACUAUAAAAUUAAAGGCCAAAUACAAUGACAAAACCAUAGUAUCCGUGAAUGAAUAUGUUCUUCAAACACAAUGGUUACAGUAAAGGCAAAAUAGAGGAACAUCCAAUUAAGGAUCAAAGGCGUAUUAAUAUCGAUGUAAAAAACAAGUACUUCUAAACAGCUCAUAUUGCUUCUCGCAUUAAUAUUCCAGUAAUUCAAGCUAUUUAAAUGAAGAAGCAUCGAAUUUAAAAUAACAAAACUUGUGAACUCCUCAAAACAACUAGCUAAUUUAAUUA